RNAcentral lists this long non-coding RNA (53149 nucleotides) under Malus domestica (apple). RNAcentral describes it as "long non-coding RNA (MDOM_LNC007726)". Lineage: Eukaryota; Viridiplantae; Streptophyta; Magnoliopsida; Rosales; Rosaceae. The record is from RNAcentral.
GGGGCUCAAUAACAUUCACCAUGAAAUGACGAGUCCCCUCCUCCUCAGAAUCAUUUGUGUCUCUAUUCUUUGCUACAAUCAUGGGAAACAAAUGCCACUUAGCAGAAAUUUUGGUCUAUAAAACAAAUUAAUGUCCAUGACAUUCAUCACAAUAUAGUUAACAAUAUUUAUUUAAAAAGUCCUGUUCCCUUUUGUUUUUUUCCCUAUAAAAACAAAAAGAAAAGCUCAGGAAAUCCAAAAGUACACUUCUAAAAACAAGUUUAACACAUUCGCAUAUUGGACAUAAAAUAUAAGUAAUUCAGAUUUCAUGGGGUGGAAAAUUUACCAACUACAGCAGAUGACGAGUUCCCAACCACAACAGAUGGAGAGUUACCAGAUGUCGCUGAUGAUGAGUUCCCAACUGCAACAGAUGAUGAGUUCUCGGUGGCUGAUGAUGAGUUUUCUAAUUUAACGGGAUGUGCUGGAGAUGAAAGUGAACCAGAGGUCUCUGCAUGCUCGACGGAAGAGGAAGUAACACCAUGGCUGGUAGUAGAGGGUUUAGAGUUACCAUCUUGUUGCAUUUCACCACCAGUAUGUGCCUGGUUCUCCUCGUGUAAUUUCCUUUGGGCAUACUGCCUAGAAGGAGAAGGUUUGGAUGGCUGAAAUGCUUUGGAUAAACCACCAACAAAAGACCAAACAGCAUCUCUAUUCUCAAUAGUCCACAGAAGCUUUAGCCCAUAAACAAAUAUACGCUGACAAUUGUCAGCUAUUACCACAUUGUAUCCAUCAUCAUCACUAUGAUCAGACCGUGUAUGCUCAUCACUCUCACUCCCAUUUUCAAACUCAGACCUCACAUAUGUCAUCUCAAGAUUUUUUCUUCCAGCCUCUUGCCAAGCUAAUAACCUGGCUGGGUCAGCUUUUGGCGCCUGCCUUCUUAUUGUGAAAUAAUCAGAUGACAAUAGAAAUCCAUCAUCACGAUGCUUCUCUGUGCAACUACUCACAUAGUUACUUUUCUCAUUGGGACCUCUAUCCGUAGAUGCAGAUUGUGAAUUUUUUAUUGUCAUUUGAACCACUUUUGCAACACUAGUACUUUCUUUUUUAUUUAAAAAUGCCUUAGGCAUAUGAAGGUCAAAACCCUGGUAAACAAGAUCAAGAGGCUCACGCUUGCAUUCAAAAGUAUACUUUUGCUUACCACGACUAUAACACAUUUCACAUUUGAGCUUAGUCAUAUUAAAUGUCAGUCCCUUAGCUGGAUCAUCAUCAUCUAGCGGCAUAUGUUUUAAACAUGUAGGUGCAGCAUCAAUGCGGAGCAUAAAUUCUGUCAUUACUCUGUCCAAUGACAAGUUACCAGAUCUAGGAACUCUUGGAACUCCAAAACGAGGCCAACGAGCAAAGGACCGCAAUUUGUGAGGAGGAAGAUAAUUCAUGUUCCAAAACUUUAUCAACCAUGCUAGAUCAUGAGCGCCAACAUUUAGUGUCGGUGAAAGAACGGAAACAUUGUCAUCUUUAUGAGGAGGACCAUAAACAGUUCCAUCUACAUCACCAUUACCUGCCUCGGUAGAAAAAGUGCUUUGCUUUUCAAGUGGAGAGGGCCUAAGAGAAAAGGUCCAGCGAAGGGAUAGAGAGGUGGAUCUGUAUGGAUCAAAAACCUUAUCACGAGGUCUUCCUUCAGCAGGAAGUGCAAACAAAUAAUGAUUCAUGGGAUUUCCAGAUUCACAUUCCCAACCUAAUGUAACUUCAACUGUAAAGGCUGGAGCCUCUAGCAAUGGACCGGAUACACCUUUAGGAAGUUUUAAACCACGAUUAUUUGCCAAACUCUCCAAACUGCUUAAGAAAAUCUUGAAAGCAUUUGCUGAUACAUAAAUACGGCCAUCAGACUGCUGAAUCUCCAUAGAACCAGUUAUUAUUUGAAGUUUGUCAAGCUUUUCAUAAGGAUCGGUAGUCGCUAGUAUAUUAAAUUUGGCUUCUGAAAAUAAUAAGGUGAUGUUUCCAUGAAUAUAAUUUCUCAUAUCAUCCCACCAUGGUAAGCUCUUUUCCUUUUUGGGAGGAGUGGGAAGUGGAUUAGGGUUCCUAACAGAUAGAUUAGCCCUGCGAAGGGCCACAGAAAAAGCAUAAGUGACAUCAGCAAAAGCAGGUUCAUACCCCACCCCAAAGGACACUUCAGCUUUCUGAAAAUGUAAGGAUAAAUCUGUAAAUGUUUUCAUAGGUGGAGUUGUGCCACUAGCCGAACGAAGCAUGUUCACCUUUCUCCAUCUCCCAAUAUAGACUUCUUUGUAUACUUGAGGCUGAAAACUUGUUGCCUGAUCCAAAGAAAUAAUUUCCAAUUAUACAGCAUACGCGCACAAGUUUUGCAUGUAAGGACAUGAAAAAAUCACAUCAAGACCCAAAUAAUCAAUCAUGAUAUACAUACAAAGGUUUGAUACACUUUCAAAUAUCACUACAGGGUCUGAUCACAGAAGACAGAAGAAUGGUUUUUCAUUUUGACAAGAAGAAGAACCUGGGAGUCAUUUUAUCCAGGAAAAGAAAAGGUGAAGGAUAUUCAGCACCUUUUGAUGAAUGAUAUUGCUAGGGUCUCUAGGCAAUUAUUUUUCAUUAGUUUUCACUCUCUUUUUUCGGCCUUGGGCCUCAACUGGACCCCAACAAAAGGUGAAAUACAGGCAAUGCGUACAAGCAGUCUACAGAAGAUAUUAAGGCAGCUUAUGUGAGCAAAUCCAAAACAAGUAUUUUAACCUAAGAAAUAUGCACACAAACUCCGUUUCUUUAUUGUCCUUUAGCUAUAAAAAAAUGUCUCCUUUUCAGAAAAGGGAAAAAGAAAUAUGCUACUUAAAAAACAGGAAGGACCUGGUCAUCUAAACCCCACAAUGUCCUCUAAGACUUUUUAUGUCAGCAUGCAUGCACAUAGCAAUAGAUGCAAGUAUUUAGUCCUUAAUUAUCCAAGAAGAUGGAUUGUAUGAAAUCAAAUAAACUUAUAAUUCCACUUCACAAACAAUAUUCUUAGCGCAUGACCAAAAGGAGAUGCAUUGAUAAAAGGUGGGUAAUAUCCCCGCAUUUGACAUUUUACAAGAAAUUUACACUGGUUCUUGUCCAAAGAGUGGGGACAACAUUACUGACUACUUCAACAUGACUAAAUGAAAUGGCAUAUUGGCACAUUAACUAGCUCUUUAACUUUUUUUGAACCAUAUAAUCACUAAUCGACAAUCACAAUUGACGACUUGAUGUUGGACCAGAAAAACCACUUUGAAAGUGUUGGUUAACCCAAAGGAAUGAUCUUUCCACAUAGUAGAUUAUUUAAGCUGUAGAAAAUUAGUAAAUCUUUACUUUUAUUUCAUAAAGAGACAUUACUAAAAAGAAAAGAGGAGAAAUUAAGCUGGAGGAUAUGAGUAUUUCUUCAGCUACUUUGUCAAACUAUCUGACCAAACGUCAAGUUUUGCAGCACAGACGUUCAUCACUUGCAUUUCCAGUUUUGUUCUUUUUUUUCUUCUUUUUUUUUCUUAUCAUGGUAGGCUUGGCCAACAGAAAAUAAUUGGAAAAAACCAAUGUUCCUGUAAUCAAGAGGCGUCUAACGAUUUUCUUUCUUUUAAUAUUUUCUGCCCAAAAAUAGCAACUGGCAAAGCAAAUUUACAUAUGCUAAACCCAAGAAAUCAAAAGAAGGGUAACAAACGGAAUGUCACUUUGCAAAUUACCUGCUGUGCAAGUACAAGACGACCUUCACAUUUACCAGAAGUACCACACAAAAGAGGAGAUGCAUAAUCACGUAGCUGAACGACCAGAGAACCUGCGUGCAAGAGAAUAUUACUCCCAUAUAGUCGAGAAAAUGGUAUAUCAUUUUCACAACAAACCGGAUCUAGCGUCUUUAUGACCUCUAUCAUCCCAUCAUCUCCACCAUCAAUCCUUGUCAAGGUUACAUCUAAGUCUCUUGCUGUUAUGGAAAGAAGAGAAGUCCUAGAAGUACUUGGCUUAAAACCAGACUGAAACCCUUCCCUACAGGCACCUGAACCUUCAGAUGGUGCUAGAUUUUUGCAUGCCCUGUAAUAAGAUUUGAAUGAUUGUUUAUAAAUUUCUCCUUUCAUCUCAUUAACUGCUGAUGGAUCUUGUACAUCAAUCUCAACUCCAUUAAAGAAAGUUUUUCUUCCUUGAGUAGAAUCUACUGUUUCGGUUGUUUUAGGAAUCUGGUUGGCUUUGGAAACAAAUUCAUCAAGAAACUUCAACCUAACAGCUAACUCAGAUGCCUCAUUCUUCAUCAGCUGAUAAUGUUCAUCAAGCCAACCUUGCAGCGGCUCUUCUUCAAUAUCAGCAGUUAACUUUCGUAUGCCAAACUUUAAACAGCCAACUUUCAUUGAACCAGGCUUCUUAGGUUUUGAGGUAUCUUUCUUCGUGGGAAAGAUGAGGCUAGUUCUAGCAGCACUUACAAGCUUCAAAGCACGCAACAUUUCUUCAACAGAAUCAUCAAUGGCGCGCAAUUCUAACCUAUAUGGCAAGCAAAUAUGAACAUCAAGGCCUUGAAUUACCCAAUCCCAUGUUGUAGCUACAGGUGUUUUUGCGUCGGAAGGGCAUGAGGCACUAGGAACACGUGAAAUUUGCAUCCGGCUACUUUUUAAUACUCUGGACCCAUUAAAACUAAGCAUAAGCCCUUCAAGAAGUACACCUAUACGGGCAUUCUCAGAAAAAAUUGAUUGUACCUGAACCAUUGCAUCAACCCCAUCACCAGCCUCAGCAAAUAUGGACAGCAUUUCCACAUCUACAGCAAAAAUAGAUUCCCUCUUCUUGGGCUUGUCUAAAUUCACUGGUUCUGCAAUGACUUCUUUUUUCUGGUCAGAACCUUUCAUGCCAGGGGCAUCUUCACUACCAUGUCUCUGAAGCUUCUGAUUAUGUACAAGUAACUUCAACUGUAGUCCAAGUUCAACUAGUGAUAAUUGUACAUCAGGUUCCCACCUAACUGUAAUAUCAGUAGCACUGAAAAGAGAGCAAACAGCAACCUCUUUCAGACCACCAGAACGCCGUACAAAUUUGGAAUUCUGGAUGUCAAACAAAGCCACUUUCGUUUCCGGUUUAUCUUCCUCCAAGUGGUCCUGAUAGAUAGAUCUGGCUCUUUCAAGUUCAAUCUGUGUGGAUUGUUUCUCCUUGUUCACGCGCAAACUUAAAUGGAAGAUGUCAAGAGAAAUGGAAUACCUCAGUUUCUUGCGUUCAUCAGAUGUUGUGGACAUUAUGUCUGCAACCCGGGGUGUGCCAUCAUCUGAGGUACUUAUUACAACUCGACCACCUUGUGAUCCAUAGUUCACACGCUUAGGAUCUGCAACAACAGUAUUUUCUAAGCCUGCCUCACCACAAAAUUUCACAGAACAUCGUUCAAGAUUUAACUUCAACAGCUGAGUCCCUUUCCCUGAUGGUUUGGACGGACGCCCUCGGCUUUGUGAUGCUCUUCUUUCAGAAGAAGACAAAGUUUUCAAAAGUGCUUGAAAGGACAUUGCAGUUGAUAUAAGCGACUCAACACGCUUGAAUGUAAAAAACACACCCAUACCAGUCACAUCAACAGAUAAAACCAAUUUACAUUUCGGACCGUCUUCUUUGGAUGAUUCCAUGUCCUUUUUGCCCCAGUCCAGACUAACCUUUCCAACAUUAAUUAUAGAACCCGAAUUUGAUUCUACACCAAAAAGGCUCUCUUUCAAGCAUUCUUGGUAUUCAUCUGCCAUGUGCAAAUUUAGCUCACCAAGUUCCAUAUGUACAGUGGUUCCCGUAUUUGAUAUGUUAUUCGCAAAUAUGUGCGAUGAUUGAGAGCAACCCUACACCAGAAACUCAAAUGUUAUGACUUGUAAUUCAUAAUUUUAUUUUUGAACUAAAAAAAAAAAAAAAGAUUAACGGGAAUAGGAAUACAUGAUUAAUGACAAAUAAAGAAGCUGAAGCUAAAGAAGAGCAAGAGACACAAUGGCUACUUCACCGGACAGUGAAAAUUAGACGGCAAAUCAACAAAAACAGAGCUCUAUCACCUACAUAUAUGCAAAUGGUUUACAUUAUAAUAUGACUAAAUAUUAAUUGCUUAAGAACUUAGAAGUGCACUUGGGAGAGAAUGGUACUACAAUGUUGUUUUCUUUGAUCUAAUACAACUUUUUUCUUAAUCAAAACAGAAGGCCCUACUAUGUAUGACCUGCUGAGGGGUUUUAAUAUACACCACACUUUUACUCAUUUUAAAGGAAAUAGAAUAAAAACCACUCUGAAUUUUUGCAAUGGCGAAUGGAUGGUUUCAUAUCCUUUCACCUAUGAGUUCCCCAUGUACAUAAAAUGAUAUUCAAGCAAGGACAAGAAGAGCGCUCAAAACUCUACAAAUAUCAGGAAAUUCUAAUAAUAACCCAUUUGCUUACUACACCUCUCAUCUCCUUUAACAAAUUAAAGAUUUGCUCGAUAACCAACCUAAUCCCAAAUGCCCCCAAUUUGUAUAAGGGAUACUGAUCCUUUUGGAUUAGAUCAUGCCCCCAGGGUUAGAUUGCUGGCUUCCCUUUGUCUCCUUGUCAAAGCACGCAAGGGAUGUUUCUUUUAAUUUGAUCCAUGUGUAUUGGUCUGCCAUUUUAGUCUAAGUGGGUCUAUUUUCUCUAAGUCCGGAGUGGGGUUUGAGGGAUGUUUGAAAAAUCACUGCUUUUUAGGCGUUCGUUUCCAACGGUCUUUUCAUUUUAUUUUGUAUUUCUCCUUUGCCCCUCCAAUAAAAAGAUUGGAUUCUUAGGUCUUAUCACACAAAUGGCUACAACAUCCUUUUACUCACUAAACCAACCUAUGUAAACUUUUUACUCAUUAUAUCCCUCAUAACUCUCAAAACUCUUAACUAUGAAGACAUGAAAGCCACUGCCAUCACAGCCCACCGCUGAUCCACCGGGUCACUGGACUUGAAGAGCUACCACACAUUUCAUGAGACCUGCUCACCCACUCCCACAUGACCACACAUCUAAGCUUUUAGAAGCACCUUUUUGAAUUUCAUCUUCAGCGAAGACCUAGGGUGAAUCUUAAAUCUAAGCUCAUUUGUGGUUUCUGUAACUAUUUUCAUUGCUUAUGAUCUUUUUUGGCCUUUGUCUGUUAUGAUUUAUGUUGGAAAACAUACUCCGUGUGUGAUUUAAAAUCAUUUAAUGGAUUCAAGGUUUUUCAAACAUCAAACACCCCUCCAUGGCCCUUUUCCAGAGUGGCAACUAAUAACUGAGUGGUAUGUGAUCAAAUACGGGAAAAUGAAUAGAAUUUACCCUAAAUGAUUUUAGGAAAGUUAAAUCUAGAAUGCACUUACAUAAAUUCACUACCACUGUAAUCACUUGUUUGGUACCCCCACAGAUUUUCCUCAAAAUGUCUAAUAAAAUCACUCAAACUUAUGGAAGUGCUGUUUAAGCAUCUCUCCCACCGCAGUCAUCAUAACUGGGAAAGAAACUGUUGCGCAUCACACAUACCCUAAUCAUAUAAUAUGAAUCUACGAGGAAUGGAGAUGUGGGAAACUGUACCAGAAUUGCUGCCCUGAACUUUCUUAUGAUUUGAUACAUUCCUGCUUUUAUAUUGUCUUUUCCUAUGGUAAAAUUUGCAUAAAAUGCUUGAUAAUUUAUAUAACUCAAUUUGGCAAAAUAAAUGCCUUUCAGUGUUUGUUGUUCCUGGUUGGCUCUAUAAAUUUCACAUUAGAUAAUUAUAUAACAGAAAAAAACUGAUAUUGUACAGGAAAAUUUCACUUUUUCCAAAGUUUCUUACAUGCACAGACAAGAAUAUCUUACUCUUUAUACUUUUCCUGAUUUUUAUAACUAAUUUUAUAUCAUUGAUUUCGAUCCCAUGGCUUGCAUAUGGGUAAAUGCCCUCUGGGCACAAUUUUUUGAUAAAUUUACACAUAAAUAAAAAAACACAAAAAUAUAAGUUGUUCAGUGUAACCUCAAAAAUAUGAUAGUGCUAACAGAGAGUCGUAUCACUUACAUGAUACAAUGGCAACCCACUGAUGCUAUAAACCACAAUAGUCAUCUCAGGGGCUGAAACAGUACAUGUCCACAUGAUGGCUUUGGUAUCAUCGGUUGGCGGUGGCUUGUCAAGAGUGGAAGUUCCCUCCCGAAGCACCAUUCGUUUCUUUUUUGAGAAGUGGAGGCGCAACCAUGGCUUUAAUCUAUUCAUUAUAACGUUGCAUUGUGUACCUCCAAGCUUUACAUCCAUUUCAGCUCUGACAGGCAAGGUUGGCUGAAAAGUUAAAAGAGUUCCAAGUCAAUAAAUGACCCCCACCACAUCAAAAAUGCAGUGCCUGUUUCCAAUGAAAUAUUGCAUAGGGAAUUCCAUGGGAAAUUCCAGAUUUGAUUCUUUUCAAAAAAAUAUAUAUACAUCGCAUGGGAAAUUCUAGAUUUGUUGGAAUGGACUGUAGCAGUGGCCCAUGGAUCUUAUCAUGUGCUUCGUUGCUUUUAGAAACAUUGUUUUCAUUUAUUUAGAGACUAUGUCCUCAGUUUCUUUCUUUAUUUUCAUCAUAUAAAUACAUUCCAUAUUAAACAUGGAAAGCACUACUAGUAAGUAUAAACCACAAACCUUCAGUGAAAAACCACAAUCAAAUAAUCCUUGAAUAGUGCUAAAUCAAUGAUCCAUCAAUAUAUUCUUCUCAACAAAACAUAAAAAAAAACAAUCCAUCAAUAUAUUCAGUAUCAAAAUUAACUGUACAUGAUGAUAUGUUUAAUUGGAUAUAUUUACCCAACGUAUGCAAGAAGUAUAAAAUAUAAGCAGAAGGAAGAGAUUAACUUUUAGGAGACACAGGUUGAACAACUUAAACUAAAAAAACUUACCUGUACUGGAAUGUAAAAGAAUGAUGCAACAUCAACUUUCAGUAUCUCCAAAACAGAAAUGCCAGCUUCUCUAAGCAACUGAAACAUAAUGUCAAAAUCAUCAUCGAGAAUAGACCAAUAUGCAACGAAUGUGAAAAGUAAAACACUAAAAUCAUAUUAACAGUGUCAAAGUUACAUUCAUACAUGAAUCUCACUGAAAUCCAAUUGAACAUCAAGGCGUGUAGUCUCCCCCACAUCUUCACUGGAUUGUGAUUUGGUGCUUUUUAAUUGGAUACCCAUUAUGUUAUUCUCGACAGAAAAAUCAUAUUCCCGAUGCACAAAUCUCACGUCCAGUUUUGGUAAACUGAAGGAAACCUAUCAAAGAAGUAAAAUAUUAAUUCUUAUAAGGAACAAUUUAAUAAAAGAGAAGUUACACAAGUGGAUGAACCAGACGUUGAUGAAAGCACAUAAACAAGAACAAGGAAAGAUUCAAUUGUAAAUAAUUGCAUGAUACUUAAUAUGAUUCAAGAGGUUGACAUGGAAAAUGAAUUGCUAAUAUCAUCACAUUCAGUGCAACAACUCUGAGUAAUAGAUAUAGGGUAGAAAGAUGCAAGAGAAGCUGUCAGAAGGAAAUCACAUUAGAGUCCGGUGACAAGCAAAACAUGGCAUAAAAUAAAGGUUGGUCAGAGUUUUAAAAUAAUCUAUAGCCCACUCACUCUACUUCAAAAUAGGCACAAAAAAGUUCAUGACUCCUCUACCCUUUAUGACUCUUUCUGGACAGGGGAGAUAUCCUCCAAGGCACACUUCUGGCACUAGUUUAAACUUGUUUCAGCCUCUUAAUACUGUACCCUAAAUUACUGCUAUCACAUAACUAUUCGGGAUUUCACCUGACUGGUAAGGAUAAAGGAACAGCCUGGGAUAUGGGUAGGUGUUAGUCCAAAUCUUGGUAGGAGAAAAUCUAUACCAUCAUAUCGCAUGUAAUUUACAGCCGGUCAGCUGGAAUUUAGAGUUUAGGAGAAACCUAAGAGAGUCGGAGAUUGAAGAGGUGGCUGGUUUACUGCAGAAGGUGGAGUCCGUACGGCUGUGCCAUUCUAGAGAAGACAGGAGAAGAUGGAAUUUAGAAGGUUCUGGCCAGUUCACUUGCAAAUCUUAUAACUCUUUCCUUUGCAACAAUGAUGUUAUGCAUCAAUUUCCCCCUUUCGCUCAGAUAUGGAAAGCAAAAGUGCCUCCAAAAGUCAAAAUCCUUGUGUGGCUAGUGGCGCUCGGGAAGGUUAAUACUUGUGAUCAAAUCCAAAGACGAAUGCCUUUUGCUUGCUUCUCCCCCCAUUGGUGCACUUUGUGCAAAUCUGGGGAGGAAAGCGUCAACCAUAUUUUCCUCCAUUGUCCGUAUAGCAUUCAACUCUGGUGGAAAUUGCUUAAGGAAGCCGGAGCAAGAUGGGUCACCCCAAAGGGAUGUUUUGAGCUUCUAAGCAUUAAGUUCGAAGGCCUAGGGAAAGGGAGGAAAGCCAAAACUUUGUGGGGAUCUCUGUUGAUGGCCCUCUUCUGGAACAUUUGGUUGGAGCGUAAUAAAAGAGUCUUUGAGGAUUACAAGGGAGUGGGGGUGGAGGACCUUUGGGAUAGAGUAAAACACUGGGCAGCCCUUUGGGCUUCGGUUUCAGUGGAGUUUAGAGAUUACAAUUUCUCUUCUAUUUUUAGGGAUUUGUUAGCAGCCGUUAUUUGAUUUGGUCUAGCUUUUCCUCUGUUCAAUUAGUUUUCUUUAGGGGUCCUUGCUAGUUCUCUUCUAGCUCCAGGUGGAUAUCUUUUCCACGUGGUUUAUUUUUUCUUUUUUGUAAUUCUUUCGUUUUAUAAAAUUCUUUCGUUUCUUUUCAAAAAAAAAAAACACAUACGUAUAGUCCAACAACUAAUUCUUUGAAAAUCUGACAAUAAACCUUGAUGCUCAAGUAAUUUCUUUGAUGCCUGUGCAAUUAAAUUGAAGUGUGUGUGCGUGUGUCUUUGGAGUUUCAUAUUUUUUAGGAAAUUAUUUAUCAAAAAGAAAAGAAAACAUCUACAAAAAUGAACAUGGUAUCAAAACCAACUGUGCAAUCAUAACUUACAUUCACUAAAAAGGAAUAUCCCAAAAUUCUUAAAUAAAGAUGCCCAAUAUAAAGAAUAUAAUUCUGUCUAGAAGAAAACACUUAAGAAAAUUCAUGUUUAAAGGAAUCUGAACAGAAAGAAAAUGGCAUUAGUAAAAUUAUGACAAACUGAAGGGGGGAAGAGACAGACAGAUCAUGUUGAAAGCCAUAUUAGUUGACAAACCUUUUCUGGAAAUAGAGAGGUGUACUUUGAGAGUGCAACAAUCAUUUGUUGUUUUUUGUGUGGCUUUUUAGAAGCAACAGAAUCAGUAGAGGACCCUAGAACGUUAUCAGGUUGAAAAGAAGUUUGUGAUGAACUUUUGCUUUUUGAAAGCAACUCCUCAUUUAGGUUCACAGUAAUCUCUCCACAGGCAAUGUCCACAUUCUUGAUCAUUACACCGACUUCCCUACAUCCAAAUCAAGUGAAUAAAAAGAUAUUAGCUGGUUUACCUUGCCUUAUCAUUGGAAAUUAAAAAUUAAAAAUAAAAAAAAUCUAAUGAUAGAAGAGACACAAAAAGUAAUAUAAGAAUGAAAGUCUCAUACUCAAGAAAUCAUAUGCCACAUUAAAAGCAAUUAACUAUGCUUUUGCAUCUACAGAAAGAAACAUAUUUCUCCAAAGAUAAUACCUAUCAUGACCAAAUUCACAAGAGAGGAUGAAAUCUUCACAAAUAAAAAGAGCAGAUGUCCUUUCCAUCAUGGAGGAUGAUGUCUGGCUUGCAGAAAUGGAUCCUCCAGUGGAAAAAUUGGAUAAGUCACAACUAACCCGUGGGUCACUCCUCAGAACAACAAUAGGUGAUAUCUGUAGCUUAACAAUAAGAUUUUGCUUGGAUGCACCAUCUUUAGAUAUGUCCACUUUCAGUUCCUUCACUUCUAUGGAUGCUUUGGGCAUCUGUAACAUUUCAAAAAUUGUAACGACAAAAUAAAGUCCAUGGCACGAAAGAUACAACUGAAAAAUGAAAUGAAUAGACUACUAGUUAACGAAAAAAAUUAAAAAGUACAGCCUCUUGAACUUGAUUAUUUCCAACCUAAUAUUUGUACACUAUCAGAUUCAUCCCUUUUUCUUGUCGAUGACACAAAAUAUGUCCAACUUAUUGGAAUAAAAUUUUGGAUCGCCUACAUAAAACCUCACAACUAUAGGGUCUAUUUCAAGUUGGUAUCCGAUCUCCAGAGGUUGGAUAAAAUGGUAAACAAACUUAAUAGUACCUACAUAUCCGAUCUCCAAGUGGGUCAGUUAAAUUCUUAUGUAGCAAACGUGUCCCAUGUUCUAUGAUUAAUCGGACUCCAAAUGUGUACCAUGCAUUUAGAAUGACACGUGAAACACAAAACAAUAGAAAACUAGAGAACAUUUUGAAAAGUCAUCAGAAGAUGAAAUUUAAAUCAAAAAAUAACAUAAAAAACCAUAAAUCUAAAAGAAGGACUAAACCUCCUUCUCUUUUCUCUCCUCUAUCUCUCCAACAGCUGCAGGUCGUGAGAGAGAGAACAUAAGGGCAUAGAGUGUCCAAGAGAGGGAGGUUUGUUCUUCCUUUUUAUUUUUGUGCUUUGUUUUCUAUCUUAUUUAUUCCACAUCGCAUUAGUAAAUACACAUGGCACACUCCAGAUAACCAUUAAAAAUGAGACCCACAUUUGCCAUGCAAGCAUUUAACAAGCAUAUUGAGGGAUUAGUUGACUAUAUUUUCUUACUUACCAAAUUGUGAUCCUGUACCAACUUAAAAAACAAUCCUAUAUUUUGAGGGGGUGGGAGGUAUAUAGUUUAAUAUAUUUUUUUAUUUUAAAAAAAAAAUGGUGUUGCAUAUUCUUUCCACUUUUUUCAGAUGAGUUAACCUUGAACCGGUUUUAUUCUUCAAAUGGCAACUACAAAUAUCCUUCAAAAAGUUAUUCAUGAACAAACUUCUACGCAUUAAGAACGAGUAAAGCAAACAGAAGGUAUUCUACAGAUAAAAAGGGAUAAAAAUACUAGUACAAUCCAGCAUACCUUCAAAACCAAAUCUGUGAUGGAAACCGACAAAUAUCUUGCAAUAUUAGCCACAACCAUCCACUUUCCCCUGCCUGAAUUGGCCUUUGUCGUACGAGGUCUUCGAGGUUUAGCCUUUGCUGUACUUCUACUCGAAGGCCUCAUCACAACUUCUAAGUCACAUAUUAACACUUGCAGCUUAGGGUCUUUAGAAAUAAAACCAAACAGUUUGACCAAGGACUGACGUAAGCUGAGUUUAAUUUCACCAACAGAAACAGAUUCAACAGCGCCCUGCAAAUUACCAUAGUCAUAAAUAGAAGAAUGUCAACAUCUAAUGGGCACUAAUCUGCUGACCAAACAAAAAUUUCCUAAAGCAUUGACAAUCAUCCAACAAAAUUCCAAACAGCAUAUGGAGGGCCCAGGGAGGGUUAAGAGUAAUCCCUUCAUUUUCUUUUAGGUAGACUAUGAUCCACUAUAGAUGAGUGUAGUAAUCAAAUUUGUAGACAUAACUAAGGACUAGAUCUACCACUCGGAGCACUCCAGAGAGAUAAAUCACAAAACCCCAAUUAAACACAUCUACAAACAACAUACACACUUGCUUUGUAAACAGCUGCUUAGCUCUAUAUAAAAACCUCAAAACCAUCCAGUAAAGGAAAAAGAUCAUAAAGAACUUCCCAUUGGACCGAGAGCCUCAAUUAGAAACUUCAUUUUGCAGAACAACCACUGAGUUACAUCACAUGAGAAACAUGAACAGAAAUUUUCUGGCAUGACUUAUUAAUGAGACUAGAUUUAUAUGGAAUUACUAAUUAAAAGAUGAAUCCAUUUUUCAUUAGUAAUUAUUGUGAAGUCAGGAUAACAUAGGUCUCAUAAUACUUUUAUUAGCUUUCAACUUAAUAUAAAGAACAAGAAAAACCCCUUUACUCAACCAUGUCAUGAUAAAUAAAUAAGUAAACUGAACCACUGAAGGAAAAAGUGAAAACCUUUUUGAACUCCACCACGAGAUCCCUUAUACACUUCCAUCCGCCAAACCGGAAUCUGAUAGAUGCUCCCACUACGCGGCUCAAAAUCCAAGCCAGCAACCUUGAAGAAAAUCUGCCAAAGAUGCUUAGUGCAAAAACUUGGCAACAAUAACCUAUCUAAAUCACUUCAAGCCCGGAGAAAGAAUGAAAAAGUUUAUCCAAGUAAUAAUGAAAGAGUCCUAUUUUGAACACAUAAAAUAACUCAUCUUAAUAACUGAUGCAAUUAUCAUCGCCCCGGUCAGCCCUUUGUUUCUUUAUUUCAAUUUUCAACUAAGUUCCAGAAUGGUUCCUUUCUGUAUACUGUUCAAAACUUCAAACUAUACACCUACACUCCAUAUACACAGAAACCCCUACCCACUUUCACACACACAUUGUCUUCACUGGUUUCCAGGGCUGCUAAAAUUGUCCCAGCAUUGCAAAUUCGAUAUCUAAAGCACGCCUGUAUGACGAAUUUCAUUUCCAAAACUAGCAAAUUCUUAAAUUUAUCCCAUUUCUAAUUCCACAGGCAUUGCAAUUGGCAUCAAAAACUGAAUUGCACCCAACAAAAUUCAUAAAAAUAAAACCCGAGUUCAAAGCAUUCACAUACCAUACAUACAUACAUACACAUAUACAUAUAACUUAUAUGAAUGGGUUGUGGAGAUGGGGAAAAGAGGGACGUACAUGAAGAGGAGCCAUAACGUGAUGCAAAUGACCAAGAAACAGAAGAGGAAAUUGACGGGCGAAGCCGCCAUUGUCGUCUGCCGGCGACGAGAUUGAUGAUGCGAUGAAUUUCAGUAAAUUGCUGCAGAGAAUCGAAAAGGGGAAAGCAUUCUGCGCUCAUAACUUGAUCAUGUCAUCAAAACCCUAAUGGAAAAUCAAAGGGAACCCAGCGACAGAGAGACUGACAGUUUUCUUUUUCUUCCCUUCCGUCGCGAUCGCUUUGUAAUUUUGUAUGAGAGAGAAACUUCAGAGGCAGAGCAGAUCCGAUCCCUGAGGCACAGAUCGAGAGAGAAAGAGAGAGAGAGAGAGAGAGAGAGAGAGAGCGCGUGGGAAGGCCUGGGAUCAGGUGCGUGGCGAGUGUACGGGCAAGUGUUCUUGAGGAGAAAAUGGCGAACAUGUCCUUUGGAGGUUGGGGCGGGUGAAAUAAGUCAACGCGCGGUUUUGAUGUACCCUCUAAGGAUUGCCAUGAAGAACUUCCCUUUCAAUUAUUAUUACUCUCCGUUUACACGGGGAAAAUAAAGUUGGAACUAUAAAUAUAGAAUUUUUAAAUGAAAAAAGUUUUUCAAUUGCCAGUUUAAUUUCAUGUAAUUAGUUAUUAUUUUCAAAUUUUCAUGAAUGAGAGUUUAAAAUAAAAAAUAAAAUAAAAUUUUAAUCAUAAGUGGCCAUCACAACAACUUCUAUUAGCGUUGCCUCCACCAUCAUCAUCGUCGUCACAUCACCACCAUAGUCACCGAGGCCAUCUUGACCACCACCUACCGUUUGCACCACCACUUCCGCCUCUACUACUAUUGUCACCACCACCUAGCAUCACCACCGCUAGCACCCCACCAUCAUCGUCAUCCUCUGUGUUAAUAACGAUGAUAAGUGGGGUCCCUACCUACACUUCGUUAAGCAUGGCACACUUUUUUACCUUGAAAUCAAGGAUCAAGACGUACUAUAGUGUGAUAUUCCUACUGCAUUUCAAAAGAUAUAUUGGAUAAUCAUAACAAUUCAUCUUAAGGGUAGUGCAAUCGGAGGUGAUCAGAAAGUUGUUGUGGAGAUAUAACUUUGGAAGACAGUAGCGAGGGGAGGGCUUUCGAAUGAACCAAUGCUCAGGCUUGUUCUAGGCAUGCUAGUGGGUGCACGGCUAUAGGGUCUUUGGACGUUUGUGUUUUGAAGGGCUCGCUCAAUUUACUAGCAUGUCAAAGGUGAAUUCAUGCAAUGAUGAUGAAGCUUGUCCCUCGUGAUGGACAUAAGCAAAGCGAGGUGAACUUUCUUCGUUCCCCAUGUUGAAAUGAAGGUAAGGUUUUGAUAAAGAUCGGUACUUAGCCUAGCUAAGUUGAAGAUAGUGUAUUUAUCAAAGUGUUGUUUUUCUGGCAAAUCCAAAUACGUUGGUGCACAAAAUCGGGUGGACUUUAAGUCAACGUAAAGUGGAGUGUGAGAACCUUUGUGAGGAUGCUUCGGUCACUAAGUGAUGGUGAUAUGUGAGAGUCCUAUGAUCCAAAAGAGCUUAAUUGUGAGGGAGAAGUCUCCUUUCAUAUAUGAGGAGAGUCCCACAUUCUUGUAUGUGAUCGAUGUGGGACUCUAAGAAUGUUAUUGUAGUUUUGCCACAUGUCCUUGAGCAAGUGGGCUCCAAGUUAGAGGAAUGGAUAACUCAUUUGAUCAAGGUUGUUCAUGUGCUUCUUUAUAGGUGCCUCUAGUGGCUUAUCAUAGAUAUUUAUCAUGCAAUUUCUAUCAAAUAUUAAUACAUCGUCAAAUAACCCAUAAAUAGUUAAGGAUUAUGAGUCUGACUAUAGCAUAUGUGUCAACCUCUUUCUUGUGUCAACCAAAAAUCUUCAAUACAAUCACAGGUUAGUGGCAUCUAUAGCGUGCAUGCGCACAAGUACCACUUGCAAUUCACAUUCCAGUACAACUUCUUCUCAACUAACAGUCACUUUAUUAUGUAGAUCAUUUGUCGUAAAACCAAUUUUCAGGUAACCCUCAACUUGGUUAACCAUUUACUCGUACAUAUUGCAGGUUUCGACAAAAGUUUAAAUGAACCCGUUAUUGAAAGAAAAAUAGUGUGAAAUUAGAGGAUUUAUUGAAUAACUCAUGCUUAAGAUCAAAUUAAAGGCGGAAGCUAGAUAUGCAUAUAUUAAAAAACUAAAUCAAUUUCUCAAAAUCUUCAAGGCGUAAAGGUUGAAGAACCAUUUUUUUUUUUAUAAAAAAAAAAGUUAUAGAGAUGAGAUGAUUACUCUUGAAGACUCUCUUUGGUUCCUAGAACCAAAGUUAAACAUCUUUGAGGAAAGACUUUCAAUCUUCAUGAAUGUAGUUUUCCUUUGUUUUGACGAGGAUUCUUCAAAACUACCAAAGAAGAUGAUUUUAACUCUCCACCCGAAACAUGAACAAAAAAGAAGAUGAAAUAACCAUAAAGCUCCUCCUUGUGGUGGCCAAUUUGUUUUGGUGAAGGGAGAGGUAAAGGAAUGCUAGCUCUACAUCAUUCUCUUUCAUGCACUCAAAAUCAGAGGCGGAGCUACUAAGGGACUAGAAUAGUCCUGGGCCCAUCGUGCCUUUUUUCUUGCUAUAAUAACAUAUUGUUGUUGCUGCUGCGUAUCAGUGGAAUACCAUUAAAUUCAAAUGUGCCAUUCUUAAUCUAAACUCUUUUUUCCUUUUACAUGCCUCGUUUUUCACUUCAUCUCUCUUAUUUCAAUGCAAACUCCCCUUCCCCUCCUUUAGCUAUCAACUUUUCUUUGUCAUCUCUUUUGUCCUUUUGUUAUAUUUUCAAAUCUUUCAUGCUUAACUCUUACCUCGUAUUCAAGUGUUUGAGUUUGAGUUUGUACCAUGUUUUUUGUUCUCUAUACUGAAUUUGAUUGGUUUUCCCAAUGUGCAAUUUACUACAACUUUUCAUGUUGUGAGGCCCCUCCUCACAUGAAAUUCUGACUCCGCCAUUGCUCAAAAUCCUAAAAUCUUUUGAACAACGAUUAAAAGGACAAGUGGUGGGUUGUGAGUGUGAAUAGACUUCUUCUUUAGCCAGUUGCAUUUGGUGUGUAAACUUUUUUUUAAUAAAUAUAUGAGGUAUCCAUCACAAAUCACACAUUGAUAACAACCUAAUUUUUUUUCAUACAAUUUGGUAUAACAAAAGACGAUAGCGUACUUUUGACUUAUGAGUUCAAUAGUAUGUCAGAGCAGGAACCGCAACUCUAAAAACCAUCUCUUAUGUUAGUAUAGAGUGAAAUAGUAUUAUUGUUUGUAAUAAAUAAAACGAUUAUCUUGGUUUUAUAAAAAUAAAUAAAUAAAACACCUCAAUCAUUUCGAUCAUAAAUAAAUAAAACCUCUAAAAAAUAGAAAAAGAAAACGAAACCUAAAACCUCAAUAAAAUAAAACGAAACCUAAAACCUCAAUUGGAAAGUAAGGGUGCGUUUGGUACGUGGGACGGGACGGAACAGAGUGGGACGGACGUGUUCCGUUCCACGUUUGGUGCGCUUAAAUUGUGUGGAACGCCUGUCCCACGGAACGAAAAAGGGUGAAAUUUUGGUUCCACGUAUCUCCCCUGGAACGGGUUGUUCCAUCCCGUGGAACACAAAAAUCAUAAAAUUUUAAGACAAAAAUACCCCUUAACUUUUUUAAUAUUUACAUCAUCUAUAUCACACAACAAACCCUAUAAGGCAUCGGAUAGUACUAAUAAUACGGUGUACGGUGUUUGGUGGUCGUUUGGAUUAAAUAGGCACCGGAUUAAAUAAUCCGGGCCCACCUUUUUUACACGGCGUUCACCCGCUUGCUUAUACCGUCCAUAUUCACGGUAUAACUUAGUCGGCCUCGUCUCGAUUCCUUUCCGCUCUCGCUGUCGCUGUCGCUCUCGCUCUCGCUUCCUCUCCGCUCGCUCUCGCUCUCGCUUCCUCUCCGCUCGCUCUCGCUCUCGCUUCCUCUCCAGGCGCUCUCGCUUCCUCUCCAGACGCACUCUUCCACUCCAGGCGCUCUCUCUUCCUCUCCAGACGCACUCUUGCUCUCAUCCCAGGUUUGUCUUCUCAAAUUCUUCUUCUUCGUUUGAAUCACAGUUCGUCUUUUCAGUUUUCUUCUUAUGGGAUUCCACCCCUCCCUCUAUUCUUCCCCCUCCUAUUUUUCUUGCAAUUUUCUUUCAAUUGAUUGAAGCUAGUUAUUAUUCUCUCUAAUUAUGCAAUUGAUUAUGUAAUUUUGUGUUUUAAUUAAAAAUUUUUAAUUUUAGGGUUUGCUAUUGGGGUCGAAUUUAGGGUUUGUUGUUGGUUGUCUCUGGCGCAGUUCCCGUUUCACUUGUUGUCUCGCAGCUGCAACGCAACCAUACGGACGGUAAGCCAAUUUCUCUUCGCUAUUAUUUUCUCUCUAAUUUUGCACCUACUGGGAUCAAAUUUUGGUGGGUUUUGUGAAUUGGGCAUCGAUUUCUGAUGCUUUUAGAGAAAUGGGUUGUCAGUGAUGUUUUGAUAUUUCAAUAGUUGGACUUGUGUGGCUGCAUGCGUUUUUUUAUUUUUGCUGGGUUUAGCUAACUGGGUUGUGCGGUUAAUCUGUUUUUUCUCCAACUUUCUUACGAUUUAAGUGCUUUUAGGUGAAGUACUUCCUGUGCCUAUUUGUUCUGUCUUAGUAGCUCAGAGGUAUGAAAUUUGAUAGUAUUUCGUGUUAAUUUUUAAUUGAACUUGAAGAAUGAGGAAUGCAUAUCUUGCUUGUGAUUGGGUAGAGUGGGAGUGGGAGUGUGCUUCCUGUGCCUAUUUGAUUGCGUGUUGAAGUAUUGCUUUGUUAUGAUUUCCUUUUGGUCUGGCAUUCUGUUGGAUGGGUGUUGAAGUACUGCUUUGUUUUGGUUUCGUUAGCAGUUGUGGUUUACUGAAUAGAAUUGUUGAUUGGAUGUUGAAGUAUUGCUCUGUUGAUUGGGUGUUGAAUAGAAUUGUUCUGGUUUCGUCUAGUGAAGAUGUUAUCUUGACUCGUUUGACUGUGUUUCUUUGCUUGUUCUUAUCCUUCCUGCUACUGUUUUUUCUUGCUGUUGGUGCAAUUUUUAAUCAGCUGGUGUGGUUUUCUUCUGUCCGCUGAGUUUCCUAGUUAUCAUUUCACCAAAGUUUUCAAUGAAGAGAGCUGCUAAUGACAAUGAUCUUGCUGUGACAUUUAAAGAAAUGCUUUCUGAAUCAGUUGAUAAGUUGGGUGAAGUUUUACAAGCUGCUUUUGGGAAGGAGUGGAUCCAAAACUUGAGAUUGCUUUAGAAUUGUCAAAGAUUGUAGUUGUUUUUUGUGUAUCUUUUAUGUUCCUGGAAAAUAUUUUGAAUUUGAUGUAUGGAAUUUACUUUUUUAUUUUAUUUUUUUGUUAUUUGAAGAUUUGUGUGGUUUUCAAUAGGUAUAAAUAUGAGAAAAGUUCAACAAACAAACAAAGAUUUGUCAAUUUUUUUUUUCCCUUGUCCUAUCCGGUUCAAUACCAAACACAGUAUAAAUAAUACGGUCAUUAGUCCGAUACUGCACCAAACGCCCGACUAAUUUAGUCAGUACUAUCCGGUGGCUAUUUAUCCUAUCCGACAGAAAUAGUCAGUACAGUCCGAGCUGCCAAACGAGGCCUAAAACUACCAUUUCUCUUCUCUCUGCCGUUUUGUGAACUUGUUCAUCCCAUCUCCCCUUCGCAACCUUCCUCCUCAUCCUCUUCCGUGUAGCCUCUCCGUGAACUUUCAGCUUUGCAUCUCCCUUCCAGGUUCGAUCUAAUUGUGAUUGUGUAGCUUCUCAGUCUCUCUUUCUUUGUAUUUUGUAGUACUUUCUCUCUUGGUUUGGUGUUUGCUGUACAUUUGAAACUAAAUCCCAUAUAUUCUUACAAAUCCUCCAAUCUUAUCUUUAAUUAAUUUUGAUGUAAAUUUGAAAUGACAUUAUUAUUCUUUUCUGAUUUGCUUGUUUCGAUUUCAUUAACCAGUUCCUAAUUCUGCUGAAUUUCUUUGUAUUCUUUUCUGAUUUGCUUGUUUUGAUUUCUUUGUAUUUUGUAGUGCUUCGAUCUGCCCAAUACUGCAUCUGCAACCAAAGAUCCGCCUCUGUUUAUCUCCUUCCACUCCCCCUAUUGAGCAGUACUGCAUUUAGAGGUAUCUCUCUAUCUGGAUUCAUUUUUUCAGUGUUCAAGUUUCGAUUUUUAUGUGCUGAAAUCUAUAAAUCUGAUGUCUUUGGGUUCUGUUGGAUUGGAUUGGGUUACAUGUUUUGGAUUUUCCUCUGUUGGAUUGGGCUCUCUGUGUUGGAUUUUCCUGUCAAUCCCAAUCUUAAUGGUGUUUCUGUUAAUUGGUGUUGUGUCUCACAGUUUUCAUCUUCAUCGACUAUUGGGUUGGAUUGUAGAGCUUCGCUGGUUCUCUAAAAUUUGUGUGUAGCAAUCGAAACUAAUGCCCAAUAUCUAACUUCAAACAUUUAGUUUUGUGCCAUUGAAACUGCAGUCAUAUGUAAUAAGUCGAUGAAUGUAGUUUUGUGCUAUUGAAACUGAUACUCUGUUCACCUGACUUGCUAUCGGUGUAGCGGUAUUACUGUAAAGAAACAAGUUCAAACUAGUGCUCUGUUAUAGCAGUUGUUUCAAACUUCAAACUUUCGCGUUAAGUUUAACUUCACAACAUCAAGAAUUUGAUUAAAAGUUGUAAAUUCAUGUCCUCAUAUUGAAUUAUCUAGUGAUUUUUGUGUUCCUGUGGCAGGCAACGACUCAAGCUUCUCUCUUCCUCCUCUUCUUCUGAUUCAUCUUCUUUCUCUCCCAUCGAGCUUUACGUUUUGACGAUCUUUAGGGUUUUGAAAUCUGAAGCUUCAAAACCAUGGAAAACGCUUCAAAUUCAAACCCAAUCUCUGAAAAUAGAGUAAAGCAGUGAGUUCAAUUUCUCAAUCUGCAAUUAUGCUGAUUGGGUUUCGAUAUUCGAAUUCGGUAUGAUAUUUACAUUCUGUUGCUUUUUGUUUUUUCAGAGAAGCUCCCCAGCUUGCUGCUUUGUUGAGAGAAAUGAAGGAAGGAUUAGAUACAGUGAGGGCAAAAGUCCAAGCUUUAACUGCAAAGGUAAACGAGUUCCCUCUUCUGGGGUCGUUUUAGUUUCGCUAUCAGUUUAUUUCGGUCAAGAAAUCUUGUUUCGAAAUUGUUCUGCCAGUUUGUAGGCUGUAGGAAAACUGUUUCUGGAUUGAUAGUGUGCUUCCUUGAGGUUGAAUAUUAAUUUGAGGGAUAAAAACCGAUUUGACUAGAAAGCUAUGUUUUUUUUUCGAAAUUUUCCAUUUUUUAAAAGGCACUUGUUUCAUUUGUUUUCUUCUCCAUGUCAAAUGUAUCAGGUGAAAGCAAAUAAUUAUCCGACAGCAGAUGGGAUAAGCUAUCUUGAAGCCAAGCAUUUGCUGCUUCUAAACUAUUGCCAGUCACUUGUCUAUUACUUACUUCGUAAGGCUAAAGGGUUUUCAAUAAAUGGGCAUCCCGUUGUUCGUAGCCUUGUGGAGAUAAGGUUGUUUCUGGAAAAGGUAUGGGCCUCUGGUGAUCUUUUUUUCCUUUUCUUUGUCGUUCUAGUAACCGUGUAGUCAGUUAUCAAUCAAUUCUCACCCUUUUUGUGUGCAACAGAUUCGACCCAUUGACAAGAAGCUCCAGUACCAAGUUGAGAAGCUCACCAAGGUUACCACAAGCAAAACCGAAGAUGUAGGGCCAAGUGGGAAGGAACCACAACCCAAUGUGCCUCAGCAAACAGAUGAUUUGCUGAGAUACCGCCCUAACCCUGACAUGCUUGUUAGCAAAACAGAUGUGAAUUCUAAGGUGAAAUGUGCAUCAGUACAAUGUUUGAAUUCCUCUUUUGUCAUCUGCCAAACAAUACUCAAGGUUUCUUCUUCUAUUUUGUAUAUUGUAGGCUGGUAAGGAUGUGUAUCGACCUCCCAAAUUUGCCCCGACUUCGAUGGAUGAAGAUAAGUUGUCAAAGCAUGAAAAAAAUGCAUUGAGAAGGGAUAAGAAUACUUUACGACAAGCUAAGCAGAGUGCUUAUGUGAGGGAACUGGUGGAUGAUUUGGAGGGGAGGCCUGAAGAGGUUUGUUGUGGCCUGUUUUUGUGGAGUUACCAGGCAUGACUGCUGGAUAUACCGUUCUUGUAACUGCUGUUUUUUAUGUCAAUUACAGAUUGUAGAAAGUGUCGGAGCUGAAAGCAUAGAACUAGCGAGAUACAGGGCAAAGAGGGAUGAACGUGAACGGCAAGAAGAGGAACUUUUUACGCGUGCUCCUAUUACAAAGAAGGAGAAACAGAGAGAAAAACACUUAAAGAAAUCAAGAAAUGGGUAAUUGACAUUUGAGAAAUUAUUUAUGAUUUUCCUUUUCAAUUAUUCCAAAUUUAUUUUUCUGUAAGAUCUGUUGAUGGAUGGCUGUUCUGAAUUGUUUCUAUCAGGUUGCUUGGUUUGACGGAGAAUUUCUAUGAUGAAAUUAAGGGUUUACCCUUGGACAAUGAGAAUGAUGAGCAGGUUGCAAGCUCCCGCAGUGCUAGGGGUGGAAUGGGGAGGCAUAAGAAGCGCAAGGUAUAUCAUAAUCUCUUAAAAAGGAAUCAAGUUUAGUUUAUGAAAUAUGUGUCCGUCUUUUGUUCUGAACCAACUGCAUUUGUGAACCUCUGUUUCCCUAGGACAUUUUCUAACGUGCAAAUUCAACGUUAACUGUUUUAUAUUUCCAUGAAGUUGUUCGUUUGUACUAAAUAUGUGGGUAUAAAUUUAGGACGCGAAUGGCCGUGUUAUAGAAGCCUAUUGGAAAAACGGGACAGCAUGUCCUGUUCUCACAGGAAUAUGCGUGUAUAGACUUCUGUAGGCAGACCAUUUAGUGAUAUAUGCGUCUUUAUAUUGAAUGCUCGAGCCUUUGUAUAAUGUGGAAAAGUACUGUUUUGGUAUCUGAACUAAGACUCUGCCGAUUACUGAUUGUACCAUCUUCAUUAGAAUAUUUGAUGGUGGGCUAUAACUUGCCAUGCUUAUGCAUUUCUUACCUAGUCGCAACUCAUCUAGGAAUGCCUGCAUUUCUUUUUCUCGUUUAUGUUUACUUAUGGUCAGAGUAUUGAAGUUGCACAAAACGACACCUAUAAAUUUACUGCAGAACACUUCCUAUUGUUCUCCCUUCUAUCAAUCCAUAUCAUGCAUGUGAAUUUUGCUUGGCAUUUCAUGUAAUAUCUUGAUAGAGCAGCCCAGCUGGUGAAUGUUACGUACAGUAAAUCUGUCUAGAAUCAAGACCUUCACUGAAAUUAGUUACAAGAUUGUUAGGGUUUUGUCGCAGCCGAGUGAUCUCUAAUGUGUAUAAUUACCGGGUGUACCAAUUCCUGAGUGAUUAAUUGGGUGAAUGUUUAUCUUAAUUCUCAAAUCCUUUUAGCAAGCUGCUGGAUUAUUUCUGUUUUUGCCCGAACCAGUACCAUCGAACCUUCUAAAUUAUCCAGCUGGCUACUCGGGUUUUCUUGUGUGCAUGAGUUUCUAGUAUUCAAAUUUUUUCUUCUUCCAUAUUUGCUUUUAUUUAUUCAUGGCUUCAGUUGGUUUUAUGCUUUAUUUGAUUUUAUGAUAUUAUCGCAAAGACAUUGACACUUUCGACUGAUUGUGCAGAUGAGGCGUUGAAGGAAUAGCGUAUGCCAAGCUUGACAACGCCCAACAAUUUAUUUGCCGGGCAAAGCUCCGAUUGCUCCAGUAGCAUGAAAUAGCUUCCUACAAAUCUCAAGUGUUUUUCUUUUGGCGGCAGACCAAUUAGGGAACAAAAUUUUGUUUGGACCGAUUAGAGUUGUUUGUUUUAAUCUUUUUGUUCUUGCAUCUAACCCUACACCAAAGAAAAUUUACUUGCUUUAUCUCGUGUCGAUCUUACAUGCAAUUACCAGUACGUAAAUUACGAUUGAAGCUCCAUAAUACGACCGCAUCUGUACAAGUUUUUCUUUCGAUUCUUGUUCAACAUGACCCGUUUGAACGAGGGCGGAGCAAAAUGAGUUAUAUUCCAGUUCUUAAAGAGAGCGUUAGGGAAAAGGUCAUGCUCUUUACUGGGAUUGAGUAGGAUACAAUGCUGGACUGGACGUGACUAGAGAUACAUUUUUUUUUUAGUAUAACGAUAUAUUUUACAUAUUAGACGAGGGGAAGAGUUAGGAUAAGCCACACAAUAAGCAAUCUAGUGUGGUAUCGAAUUCGUCAUCUACAAAAUUCAGACCUUAAGUCUCUCACUUAUGAGUGAAAGAAUACUACUAGACCCUAAUAUUGAGUGGCGACUCGAGAUACAAAUUGAAUAUCAUGGAUAUAUAACAUCUUUCAACACUUGAGUUGGUAUUGUAAACUAAUUUCAAGGCACAUCCUUGGCAGGCAGGGGUAAUGUCAAGUUGUCAAUUUAUGCGCUUGAUGUGGUCAUAUUAUCAGGUAAUAUGACCCUCCCUCUUCCUUGGGAGUCCUCCUCUCCUUUUUAUUUAUUUAUUUAUUUUUUAUUUAUUUAUAUAAACUCCUAUUUAACUAUCUAAAUCAAACUUGAAACGUCUGUAACUUCUUUGUCAUCGCCUGGAUUUGCAAACGAUUUCGCAUACGCACUCGUGUGAUCGCUUUCUAUUCGAAAACACUAGGGGUGAUCCCCUUCAUCUACGGAUUUUAUAUGAUUAUUUUCAAAAAAUCACUUUGUAAUUAAGUAAUUAAAAUCUAAAAUAAAUUAAUUAGAUUAAAUUCACAUAAUAAUAUAAAAGCCCGUAAAUAUGAAAUAUGUAAAUUACAAUAGUGAAAUCCAGGAAUAAGUUUUCACAUUGAGGGUGUUUGAUGAGCCGAUAUUAUACUAUAUAUUUUACCGUAUGUUUUGGUAUUUAUUUUGGUUGAAUUUUUAUAAAUUGAUUUAUAUUUCUAAUAUAGGACAUUCAACUUCCUCUUGAGAAAAAAGUAUUCAAAUGGAUGAAUUUUGGAGUGAUUUCAAUAGAAGGAUGUUUCUAAGUCUCUUAGCUUGUUCGUGUCAAAGUUACAAAUUUUUCUACCCAGGAAUUUAUUUAUAGUGAUGAAAUCAAAAGAAGCAUCGUGCAAUGCUGUUAAAGUGAUAUUUUGGGCUUAUUUGGGCUUUGUGGUGUCUAAGAUUGUGUCUUUUGCUAUUGGUUUCAUCUUGGAACUUGGUGAGGACGUCCUAAGCUUUAAUUCAAUUAGUUUUGGGCUUGAUAUGUAGCCUUGAGAUCCAGAAACAUGGCUAAUUUUUGGCUGGGCAAAUUUCCAUAUUUGAUUAGAAUUAUGUUUGUUAGUUUCUCUUAUUCCAUUUUGUUUCCUAGGUUUUGAAAGAUCUGUUCUAGGCAGGAUUUUAUUUUGUAGGAGUAUAGAUAAGGUUGUUUAGCCAUUAGGGUUCUGAACGCAUCAAUUUGGAGAACUAGGCUAGGCUUUGACGAUUUGUAUUCUCAAGAUGUUUUCUAUCCUUUUUCUAGUUCAAUAAAAUUCCUUUUGUUUUAUGAUUUUUUGUAACUAAUUUUCUUUUGUAACGAAGUCAUGAGCCUUAUCAUGAAUAUGUUGUCUUUUAUUUAAUUAUCUAUGAUAUUAUGCAUGCAUACUUUGAAUUAUUAAUCACCAUAUUUAAACUGUCUCUAUAUCUUAAUGAUCAACUACCAUUAAGAUGUUUCGAUAAGUAAUCGUAUGCAAUUCGAUCGGAAUAUCAUCUUAGGAUUGAGUAUUGCUUCUUGUGAUUGAUAAUUGUAAUUUCACAUAUUCGUAAGGGUUGCAUGUUUUUUCAAAGCGUUUUUACCUAACUUAAUGAGUUUUGCAUGUUCACAUUUGAUCUAAAUACCACAUACGUAUUGCAUGUUAGAUAUACGUUCUUACUUGAAUAUGAUAUAUCACGAGGAGAAUAUGUAUAAGAAAAACCUAACAUUCAAAAUUGCAUGUUUAAUUCAUAAGUAAUUGGUAAAAUUACAUAGGAUUAUUAAAGUGACUACGGAACCCUAAUACUUUUACAACUUAAUUUUUAAAAAUUGUUUACUUUUACUUUCCUUACUUUGACGCUUUCUCUACUUGUUUUAAUUUAAAUUUGUUUUUAAUAUUUUAAAUUCCAAAAUCAACGUUUUCUAAACUUUGUUUUCAAAUAAUUAAUUAAAGAUUAUUUUAAAUACAAAUUAUUCAUUCAAUUCCUGUGAAGGACGACAUUGCUUAAGCUGCUAUAUUAUGCUAAGCUUCGUAUAUUUAUGUAAAUUGCUACCGCCGGCUUUAAUAUGGUGUCGUGUUGUUUCAGGUACAACACUAAGCACAUGAACGGGUUUUUAGGUGGACACUGCUCUAUUUCUUAAGAUUUUAAUUAUGACAAACAAUUUUAUUUUAAUUUCAUAUUUGGUUUGCAAUUUUAACAAAAAUUAUGCAUAGUUCAACAAAAUUAAAUUUAAAAUUACAAACCAAAUAUGAAAUUAAAAUAAAACCGUUUGUCAUAAUUAAAAUCUUAAGAAAUAGAACAACGGGUAUCCACCUCAAAACACGUUCUUCUGCUUAGUGUUGUACCUAACACAACACUACACCAUAUUAGAGCCAGCAGAAGCAAUUUCCAAGAACAAAAUAUACAAAUCAAAAUAUGUUAAAAAUAAUAGGGACACUUGGUUUAGGUCCUUCAACACUAAAAUCAUGCCUCUCCUAAUUGUAGUCACACCGAAUGUUCUGGUCCUAAAUGCCUAAAAUUAGAGCAUAUUUUGGUGAAGCCUAAAAUGGCUUUUUUUUUAUUUUUUAUUUUUUUUAAAUUAUAAAAUUUUUAAAGAAUACAAUUUAAUUAUAAAAAAAAAAAGAAAACUGUAAAAAUACAAACGCAAACGCGUUUGAAACAAUUUGAAUUGCUUAGUACCCGAGCUGCCAAGGGUGAUGUUUGACAUAUUAACCCACAUGUCAAUUUCAACUACCACAUAAAAAAAGGAUGAUGAUUCAUUUCUGCAAUUUGGUGCGUGCACACUUUUUUAUGUGGUCGUUGGGAUUGGCAUGUGGGUUAAUAUAUCAAACAUCACCCUUGGUAGCUCGUGUAAUAAGCGGUUCAAAUUGUUUCAAGCGCGUUCGUAUUUGUAUUUUUAUAAUUUUUUUUAAUUAAAUUGUCUUCUUUAAAAAAAAUUGAGAAAAGAGCCAUUUUAGGCUUCACCAAAAGUGGGCUCUACAUUUAGGUGAGGCAUGGUUCCUUCCUUCGUUGUGGAUUCUUCUCCCUUUAUUAUUUAUAAUAACUCUUUGGCUACCAACUCAAAGAGUAAAUCGGUGGUGGUGUUGUAAACCCUACUGCCAGUCUUCCAAAAGCAAAAGUAAAAUGUAUAAGUCACGGCUAAACAAAAUUUGACAAAGCUGCAAAUGGCAGUUGCCUGUAAGACCACUACGGUCGGUCCCAAUCACAUGCUCCAGUUCUUCUUCACUGUAACUGUCAAUGGGAGCAACUUCCAGAUGGUCGAAAUAUUUAGGUCGUCAAAAGAAGCUCAGCAUGAGGUUGCCAAGGUCACUAUCGAACACCUCUCAUGUUGAGCUUGGCAACCUCAUGCUAAGCUUCUUUUGACGACCUAAACAUUUUGACCGUCAGGAAGUUACGCCCAUUGAUAGUUACAGUGGAGAAGAACUAGGGCAUGUGGUCAGGAUCGACCUUAGUGUUCUUACAGUUAGGCAACUGCCAUUUACAGUGUUGGCAAAUUUCAUUUAGCUGUGACUUAUACAUUUUACUUUUUCUUUUGGGACAUUGACAGGUGUUUUUGUUCAGUUUUGGGAUUUUCGGUUUGAGAUUUUUCAGUUCAAUUUUGGGAUUUCUUUUGUUCGGUUUGGAAUUUUCGUUUUUUUUUCCAUUCCUACCUAAAUGUAGAGCACACUUUUGGUGAAGCCUAAAAUGCCUAUUUUAUCUUUUGUUUUUUAAUUUAAAAAAUUUAAAGAACACAAUUUAAUUAAAAAAAAAGAAAAAAGAAAAAUGUAAAAAUACAAACGGAAACGCACUUGAAACAAUUUGAACUGCUUAUUUCCCAAGCUGCAAUUUUCAAGCCCAAGUUAUCACAUAAAAUAUGUAGCUAUAAUCAUUUUUGUCCACUUCAUCAUAAUUUAUCAAAAUAAGUUAUGUUGGAAUGAUCAUUGCUACAAUUGGAGUCCCUUACCUUAUCAAAACGUGCAGUUAUGAUCAUUUUUAUCAACUUCGUUAGAAUUUUGUCAAAAUAAGUUAGGUUGGAAUGAUCAUUGCUACAAUUAGAUUAAAAGUUGAGGGACCAUUGCUCCAAUUAAGUUAAAGUUGAAAAAAACAUUUCUCCAGUUGGAUUAGAGUUGAGAGACCAAUGAUAAUAAUUUUUUAGUUGAAAGACCAUAGUUCCACGUUUUGAUGAAUUGAGAGAUCAAUGGUAAUGAAUUAGAACUUUGGAGGGUUCCAAGUAGGCAACAAAAUUUUGUUUGUUUUAAAUCUUCUGUUCUUCUGUCUAACCCAAGACCAAAGGACACCUUACGAUGAUAUUUACUUGAUUUAUCUUGCGUCAAUCUUAUAUGCAAUUCCCAGUACGUAAAUUACGAUUGAAACUCCAUAACCUGACCGCAUCUGUACAAGUUUUUCGUUCGAAUUCUGGUUCAACAUGACCUGUUUGAACGAGGACGGAACAAAAUGAGUUGUAUUCCAGUUCUUAACGUGACCCGAAAUAUAUAUAUAUAUAUAUAUAUAUAUAUAUAUAUAUAUAUAUAUAUAUAUUUUUUUUUUUUUUUUUUAGUACAAAUAUUAUUUUACACUAAGGGGAGGGGGAAGAGUUCGGUUAAGCCACACAAUGAAAAACCUAAUGUAGUAUCACAUUCGCCAUCUACAAGAUUCGAACCUAAAAUAAAAACUCACUUACGAGUGAAGAGAAUACCAUCAAACCUUAAUAUUGAGUGGCGACUCGAUAUACAAUUUGAAUAUCUAGAAUAUAUAACAUCUUUCAACACCGGAGUUGGUAAUGUCAACUAAUUUCAAAGCACAUCCUUGGCACCCAACACAAGAACCGCACUACCGAAGAGGAAAAAGGGGCUCAAAGUUGAACCUCCUUCCAUAUACGGCAAGGGAAGGGAAAGAACAUAAAUUGAUAUUGGCACUGCAACAUAAACGAAAGCUUAUGUUAUAAAAACUUCAUUCAAAAACAUAGGUUAGUUGCACAUUCUUGCAUACAUCAAUGACCACGAAGCGCAUAAGUGCUUAUGCGCACGGGCACAUAUUGCGUGGCAGUGAAUAUCUUUUUAGUCCUCUAUGCUAAAGCAUCCAAUUGAAAAGCCAAAACUGUUAAAGUGCAGAACCAAAUCAGAGAUAUAUAUCGCUCUACUAACUACUUAACCAACGAAUGUGGGAUAGUACUAUAAAAAUUUCAUGUGGGACCCUUCUUUUAGGUGGCCAUCCACGUGGACAAGUUACGAGUGGUUCUCAUGUCAUGUGCGGUCCCUUUAAAGGUUUAAGGUUAAACUGUUGUGUAACCGGUGGUCAUCCAACCCAAAAUCUUAACCUUUAGGGGUGGAAAGGUCAACUAAGUAUAUGUAGACUAAACAGAUAUAGCAGGUACUUGGCAUAACCACAACAGGGCUAGCGCUUAACAAUGCGUACGUACAUACAAGUGUAAAAGAGAACGAACCUGACAACAUCACGAUGAGAGAAGCAACAACCGCAGAGGAAAUCUUUACUACAUUCAGCAAUGAAAUGUUGAAAAACAGAUUGGUAGCUAUAUACAGCAAUGGUAGUAACGGAGCCCCAUUGCAACCUGACACAAGUGACAAAUGUGCUGGUAAGAAUUUGAACCCGAGAAAACCUUAAGAAGCUUUUAACAUCUUGAAUAGAAUUAUCACAUCAGAAUAACCACUUCAACCAAUUGAAAUUGAAUUACAUGACAGAAAAAAUUUGUUCUUUUUUACUGCCAGCAUUCAAACUGAGAUUUUAUGUGAAGUGCAUGAUUUCCCUGUAGAAACAGAAAACUUCAACAGUAAGUUUUCUUGAUUGUAUUUACUUGACUGAGAACUUUACACAUUGUGUAGGAAUAUAUAUAGCCUUUGGCUAUUUACAUAGAUACCCCUAACUACUUUAUAACUAUCUUAACUAAUCACAACUAAUACAAUCAGUUAAUUUACAGUAACAGAAUUAUUAACAGUAGCAGACUUGGAUGACUUGUCAUUCUCCCUAAUACACCCCCUCAAGCGAGAAGGGGGAUCAGAAAUGAGGCCAAUGGGAAGCUUGGAACACAGAUAAUAAAUCUGGUUUUAGACAGAGACUUGGUGUGAAGAUCAGCUAAUUGGUCUUCACUGCAGAUGAACUUGACUUUGAGAAGUUGAGCCAAAACCAAUUCUCUAAUAUAGUGAUAAUCGAUCUCAACAUGCUUUGUUCGAGCAUGAAAGACAGGAUUAGAUGCUAAAGAUAUUGCUGAUAUGUUGUCACACCAAAGAGUAGGGAAUGUAGAGAGAGGAUAGUGCAGAUCUUUGAGAAUCUUGCAAACCCAAGUUAUCUCAGCAGCUGUGUGAGCUAAGGAGCGAUAUUCAGCCUCUGUAGAGGACCUUGCAACAGUACUUUGCUUCUUGGCACUCCAGCUGAUAAGAUUGGAACCCAAAAAUACACAAUAACCAGUGGUUGAUCUCCUGUCAAUUGUGCAACCAGCCCAGUCGGCAUCCGAGUAGGCAGAAAGAUGGACAGGGCCUUUAGUGAACCACACACCAUGUGAGAUAGAGCCUUUGAGAAAUCUGAGAACCCUUUUUGCUGCCUGGAGAUGUUGUUCCCUAGGAGCAUGCAUGAAUUGGCAGAUUUGGUUCACAGCAAAAGCAAGGUCGGGCCUAGUCCAAAUAAGAUAUUGUAAACCACCAACAAUGGAGCGAUAUUCAGUAGGAUUGGACAGAAGAGGGCCACUGUGAUCUAAUUUCUUAGAGCCAAGGGGAGUGCAACACAAGGUUUUGCACCCUCCAUAUUUGUUUUCUUGAGAAAGAUCCAAUAAGUACUUUGUUUGAUGGAGAAAUAUACCCUGGGAAGAUCGAUGUACUUCUAAUCCCAAGAAAUAAUGAAGAGGACCAAGGUCUUUUACUGGAAAUUGAGCCCCAAGUUGCUGAAUGAAGUGUUGACAGAGGUGAGGAUAGGGUCCGGUGACAAGAAUGUCAUCAACAUAGACAAGGACAAUGACUAACUGAGGACCAUUGAGAACAAAUAAAGAAGCAUCUGAGGAUGAUUGGGUGAAUCCAAGAGAGUGAAGAGCUUGGAACAGUUUAUCAAACCAAGCUCGAGGAGCUUGUUUGAGACCAUACAACGAUUUCCUCAACUUACAAACAGAUGUAGGGUGUAAGGGAUCAACAAAACCAGGGGGUUGUUGCAUGUAGACAUCCUCCUUUAAGUCUCCAUGAAGAAAGGCAUUACUAAUGUCCAAUUGAUUGAGAAACCAAUUAUAUUGCACAGCAAGGGUAAGAAGGAUCCGAAUUGUAACCGGUUUGGCAACUGGACUGAAGGUUUCUGGAAAGUCAAUACCUUCUUGUUGAUGAAAACCCUUGGCCACAAGCCGGGCUUUAUAUCUGUCAACAGUGCCAUCGGGCUUCUUCUUAAUCCGGAAAACCCACUUGCAGCCCACUAAGUUUUGAGAAUGGUGAGAAGGAACAAGAGACCAAGUACCAGUGGUUAGCAAGGCAUUAAAUUCAUCUUGCAUAGCUUGCCUCCAAUGAGCAUGCUUAGAAGCUUGCAAGUAUGUUGUAGGAACAUAAUCCAUAUCAACUGGAAGUGGGUGCUUAGUUGCUGCACAGGCUCUCGACGUGAGUAUACCAGCCUUGGAUCUAGUAAUCAUUGGAUGAGAAUUAACAGGGGCAGGAGGAUGACUCUGUUGAUUUUGGGAGAAAGAUGAAUGUGCUGAAGGAGGAACAAAACUGGAAGAAGAGCCAACUGAGACAGGUGCAGGGAAGAUGAAGAUGAAGAAAUAGGAACAGGCACAGAAGCACAUAAUUGGUGAUGUAGAUGGCUGACUGAAAACAGGAGGAAUGUGUUUGCUAAAAUGAAGAUCCAGAGAGGAUGAAAUUGUUGGUGAGGAAGAUGGAGGACUUGGAACAGGAAAAAGAGUGUUGAUGUUGGGACAACUGAAAUGGAUAAGUACUUUCAUCGAAUACAACAUGACGAGAGAUGUAGAUGCGAUUGGUGAUAGGAUCAAGGCACCUAUAGCCUUUGUGUUGAAGACUAUACCCCAAGAAAACACACUUUUUGCUCUUGGGAUCCAAUUUGCUAUGAAAGUAAGGUUUGAGCCAAGGAAAGCAUUGGCAACCAAAUACUUUGAGCUUAGAGUAGUCUGGAUGGUUGUGAAAUAGCAACUGCCAAGGGACUGUGAAAUGCCAGAAAUAGGAAAGGCGAUUAAUAAGAUAGAUAGCAGUGGAGAAAUGCUUCUACCCAGAAAAAUAUGAGGGACAUGAGAUGCAAGAAGCAAAGUGCGAGCUGUUUCAACAAGGUGCCUGUGCUUUCUUUCUGCACAACCAUUUUGCUCAGGGGUGUGGGGACAACUGAACUGAUGAAGAAUGCCAUGUUUGCUGAGAUAUGAUGCAAAAGAGUGACUAGUAAAUUCACCCCCUGAAUCAGAACGCAGAACCUUUAUUUUAUUUCCAAGUGAAUUUUCUACAUAUGAUUUGAAGACAACAAAUGUAGAAAAUACAUCUGACUUAGAUUUCAAAGGAAAGAACCAACUAUAUUUGCUAUAGUCAUCAACAAUGAGCAAAUAAUAUUGAAAACCACUACUUGAUGUGAUUGAGGCAGGUCCCCACAGAUCACAGUGCAGUAGUUGAAGGCUGUGAGUUGUUGAUGAAGUAGCAGCUUUAAAUGGAAGCUUAUGAUUCUUGGCAAGAGCACAAUCCGAACAGAAAAAGUCCACAGUAGACUUGCCUUGUAAAGCAAGAUUAUUGGAUGAAAGGAGCCUUCUGAAAAUGGAGGAGGAAGGGUGACCCAAACGCUUGUGCCAAAUUGUAACUGGAGCUUUAAUACUAAGUAAAGCUGUAGGUGAAAGAGGAUGAAGAUUGCUGGAACUUUGAAGAGGAUGAAGCCAUCUCUAACCGGUCCCCGUAAAAGCAUCUUCCCCGAAAUACGAUCCUUGACAUAGGAUCCAUAAGGGUCAAGUGUCAAUGAACAAUUAUUAUCAUUAACAAACUGAUAAGCAGAUAAGAGAUUAUGGGUUAUGUGGGGAACAUGUAAAACAUUUCGCAAUUGAAAAGAGUUAUGAGAGGUGUGCAGAGUAGAUGAACCAACAUUGAGGAUGGAUAAACCUUUACCAUCUCCAAUAUACACUUUAUCCUCGCCAGUGUAGGGAGUAGGAGAGGUGAGGUUAGCAACAUCAUUAGUGAUAUGAGAGGUUGCCCCUGAAUCAAUUAACCAAGGCUGAGAUGGUUUAGCAGAAUGUUGUGCACACAUGGCAGCAAGCUUAGCUGGAGGAAUACGACCACAGAUGUCAGGAUUCAUACGAUCAAAGCAGUCAAUAGCCUCAUGACUGGUAGAACCACAGAUUUGACAAAGCACUUUGAAGUGAGAAGAGCCUUGAUUGCUGCGAAAGCCUUGAUAACCUUGAUUGCCACGGUUAUUAGGAAAAUUACCACGAUUACCUCGAUUGGAAAAGAACUGGCCCUUAGUGUUCCUGCCACGAUUUGAGUUGAACCGAGAUGCAGAUUGAAGAGGGAGAUUCUGAGCAGCAAAAGCAGAUGGAGUAGGAAGGAGAGGAGGCUAAGACUGCACCGAGAAAGCCUGAAAAGAUUCAGGGACAGGAGAUGAACUGACAGUUUUGCGUCUGGCCAUAGACAAUUCCUUUGUGAGAAGGAGGCCAUGAAGUUCAUCAAGAGAGGUAGAGGACAAUCGGAGCAUGAUACAGUCGAUGAAAGACUCAAAUUCAUCAGGCAAGCCAUGUAGUGUGGCGGCGAUAAGAUCUCGAUCAGAGGCAGAAGCACCAGCAGCUUGCAGAGAAUCUGAAAUUUCCUUGAGUUCUUGAAGAUAGUCAGAGAUAGAACGCGAUCCUUUCUGAACAGAUUGAAGGCGCGAUCGCAGCUGAUGGAUAUGCCUCUGAAAAUUCCACCAAAGCGCUGUUCAAGCUUUACCCAAAGUUCUCGAGAGGAUGAAACCCCAACCGUGAACGGGAUGAUUUCCUCAGAAAGUGUGGAAUUCAACCAGAUCAAAAGAUUUUGAUCUUUCUCAUACCAGUCCUCAAAAGCAGGAUUGAUGCUACGAUCAGGCAGAAAUGGCGAUGGACAGACGUCAGUACCAUCGAUUACUCCAAGAAGCUUGUAUCUCCGGAAAAUCGGGCCAAACAGGGCGCGCCAUGGUAGGUAAUUGGAUCUUUUGAGCUUGAUCGGCACCAUGCUGCCGAUGUUAUGAAUUGUGAGAGAAGUGUAGGAAGUCAGAGGACUCGGAUUUCCAGAGGAAUUAGGGUUUCCAGAGAAAUUAGGGUUUGGGCUCGAGGGGGAGAUGACCGGAGAAGAUGAACCAGUCGAUUGAGCCGCCAUUACUGACAGAAAUCAAGAAAUACUACAAGAUCGGAAGGGAAGAAGUGACGAUCAGAGAAGAAAAAUCGAUCAAGAGUCGAUCGAUGCAGCAAGCGAAGAGAAAGAUCGAAGCUGUGAAGCGGAAUGGCGUGAUACCAUGUAGAAACAGAAAACUUCAACAGUAAGUUUUCUUGAUUGUAUUUACUUGACUGAGAACUUUACACAUUGGGUAGGAAUAUAUAUAGCCUUUGGCUAUUUACAUAGAUACCCCUAACUACUUUAUAACUAUCUUAACUAAUCACAACUAAUACAAUCAGUUAAUUUACAGUAACAGAAUUAUUAACAGUAGCAGACUUGGAUGACUUGUCAUUCUCCCUAAUAUUCCCAUCAUUCCUAAAUGUUAUGCAACCGUGUAAGUAGAUUUUCUCAUCACCACCUAAAGUUCCCUUGUAAUGUUCACAUGAGUUCAUAAUAUACACUGUUCAGAUGUAACUUGGUGUCAAAAGCUUUUACCAUUCUUGGGAUGCUAUUUUAAGCUUUGCUCUUACUAGUCGAUGUUUCCCGUUCGUAAUGCAAUAAAAGUCUUGUUCAUUCAUUGCAGUCAUCCAUUUAAAAGUAAGAACAGGUUAGAGAAAAUCAUUCUGCACAUGCUUGAUAUGACAAUAGGUGUUUUCAGAUUAUGAACAAUAACUUUCAGCUCACUUAUGGGCUGGAAAGUAGAUACUCAAAACAAUCCAGGUAUUUUAAAAGACUACAGACAAAAAGAAAAAAAAAUGAUAUGACAGCUUGCCUGUUGUAUAGGCUCCAAUAUUCAGAAAGCAACAGGCACCAUCUUUUAGAUAUGAAGGAAGUUGCGCAAAUGGUAUGCCUCUCAGGUUUGACAAGAAAGGUAGAAACAGAAGAACAAAAAGAGCCUACAAGUCACAGGAAAUAAAGAAUAAUUUCAGCAAAACCAGUCACCAACCAGUAUCCUGUCAGUUAAAUUGAAAUUUUAUGUGCAGGACUUUACGGUUAACCUGAGUAAGCAGAUGUAAGGUGUGGAUACAUAUGAUAACAGUGAGGGAACCCCAGGCAUUUGAACGAAUAUAAAUAAUCCCAUAUCGAUGUCCACUUUCAAAUUAAAUGGACCUUCAUCACCUCUAAAAAUCUAGUUAAAGAUCGGCGCAAAUCUUUCUUGUUCUGGUAGGGUCUUGUGGUAUAAUUAACAGGGUCCACCAUACUAAGGUGCAUCAAGAUUACAAACAAGAUAAAAACUAUCUUAUAAAAAUAUAGCAGUCACCUGAAAUCCAGAUCCAAAAGAAUUGACAACAAAUAUGUCAAGUGAUUUUUCCUGCAAUGUAAAAUGGUUUAUGACUUAGAAAGUAUGCACGAGUAGUUAUGUCAACCAUAAAGUUUAGAAGGCUAGAUAACCAUUUGAAAAGAUGAGGAAAUAGCCAUACCUUAAGGUGGGCUGCAGCAUCAACAAAGACAAACUCCUGUUUGAAGACAAAAAUUCAAGAUUGAUUAUUUUGCUAUAAAGGGCACCACUGAACUUUUAACAAAUGUUCAUUGCUUUAACCUUGAUUAUAGAUGCACCGGCUUGAAAAGCACUUGAAGCAAUCAUUAGUGCUGGCCAUAUAGACUCAACUCCAGAUAGCAUCUGACCAGAAUCAGAGCCACUGCAAUUUCAUAAAAUACAUAUAACUAUCAGGAGCCUUACUUUAUAACAUGUCACAAUGAAACUCCAAGAGUGCAUGAUACUCUAGUUUAUGACACUGCAAAUUUACUUUCUAAGAAUAUGAAAUUUACCAACAACGUUCGCCAUCUCAAGAUAAAAUUCAGAGAAAGUGUCCAGUUAAAGCAUUGCUAAAGUUGGAUAAUAAAGAAAUUGGCACUUGACAGACUUUAUUAACCAAGAAGAAAGAACAAAACCCGAUAAAAAAUAGUAAGAAUAGAGGAGGGUCAUGAAAUACAUGCAGCCGUAGAAAUAUUUCAGUUUAUUCAGAAAAAACUUCAUUCGUAAUCAAAAUCACCACUAAGUGAAGACAGAAUAUUGGUAGCCAUUAUCACAUAAAAUGAUAAGGUUGUUCGUAUCCUAGGCAGUGCAUUAAAGAUAAAAGGAUGCCAAAAAGAAAAAAAGGUGAUAUCUAACAAACUCUCAAGUAAAGUGCAGAGCAGGCAUGCUUGUUAGAAGUACAAUCUUCAGGCAGACAUUCAAAACAGGGUGUUAAACUAAUCAUCAGCAGAAUAAAAAUAAGUUAUUUUGCCUUUCUUUUCAACAAAAAAAUUCGGGAAAAAGAAAUAUGCUACUGAAAAAACAGGAAGGACCUGGUCAUCUAAACCCCACAAUGUCCUCUAAGACUUUUUAUGUCAGCAUGCAUGCACGUAGCAAUAGAUGCAAGUAUUUAGUCCUUAAUUAUCCAAGAUGAAUUGUAUGAAAUCAAAUAAACUUACAAUUCCACUUCACAAACAAUAUCUUAGCGCAUGACCAAAAGGAGAUGCAUUGAUAAAAGGUGGGUAAUAUCCCCGCAUUUGACAUUUUACAAGAAAUUUACACUGGUUCUUGUCCAAAGAGUGGGGACAACAUUACUGAUUACUUCAAGAUGACUAGAUGAAAUGACAUAUUGGCACAUUAACUAGCUCUUUAACUUUUUUCGAACCAUAUAAUCACUAAUCGACAAUCACAAUUGACGACUUGAUGUUGGACCAGAAAAACCACUUUGAAAGUGUUGGUUAACCCAAAGGAAUGACCUUUCCACAUAGCAGAUUAUUUAAGCCGUAGAAAAUUAGUAAAUCUUUACUUUUAUUUCAUAAAGAGACAUUACUAAAAAGAAAAGAGGAGAAAUUAAGCUGGAGGAUAUGAGUAAUUCUUCAGCUACUUUGUCGAACUAUCUGACCAAACAUCAAGUUUUGCAGCACAGACGUUCAUCACUUGUAUUUCCAGUUUUGUUCUUUUUUUUUUUUUUUUAAUUAUCAUGGUAGGCUUGGCCAACAGAAAAUAAUUGGAAAAAACAAUGUUCCUGUAAUGAAGAGGCGUCUAACGAUUUUCUUUCUUUUAAUAUUUUCUCCCCAAAAAUAGCAACUGGCAAAGCAAAUUUACAUAUGCUAAACCCAAGAAAUCAAAAGAAGGGUAACAAACCGAAUAUGUCACUUUGCAAAUUACCUGCUGUGCAAGUACAAGACGACCUUCACAUUUACCAGAAGUACCACACAAUAGAGGAGAUGCAUAAUCACGUAGCUGAACGACAAGAGAACCUGCGUGCAAGAGAAUAUUACUCCCAUAUAGUCGAGAAAAUGGUAUAUCAUUUUCACAACAAACCGGAUCUAGCGUCUUUAUGACCUCUAUCAUCCCAUCAUCUCCACCAUCAAUCCUGUAAUACGAUUUGAAUGAUUGUUUAUAAAUUUCUCCUUUCAUCUCACUGACUGCUGAUGGAUCUUGUACAUCAAUCUCAACUCCAUUAAAGAAAGUUUUUCUUCCUUGAGUAGAAUCUACUGUUUCGGUUGUUUUAGGAAUCUGGUUGGCUUUGGAGACAAAUUCAUCAAGAAACUUCAACCUAACAGCUAUCUCAGAUGCCUCAUUCUUCAUCAGCCGAUAAUGUUCAUCAAACCAACCUUGCACCGGCUCUUCUUCAAUAUCAGCAGUUAACUUUCGUAUGCCAAACUUUAAACAGCCAACUUUCAUUGAACCAGGCUUCUUAGGUUUUGAGGUAUCUUUCUUCGUGGGAAAGAUGAGACUAGUUCUAGCAGCACUUACAAGCUUCAAAGCGCGCAACAUUUCUUCAACAGAAUCAUCAAUGGCGCGCAAUUCUAACCUAUAUGGCAAGCAAAUAUGAACAUCAAGGCCUUGAAUUACCCAAUCCCAUGUUGUAGCUACAGGUGUUUUUGCGUCGGAAGGGCAUGAGGCACUAGGAAUACGUGAAAUUUGCAUCCGGCUACUUUUUAAUACUCUGGACCCAUUAAAACUAAGCAUAAGCCCUUCAAGAAGUACACCUAUACGGGCAUUCUCAGAAAAAAUUGAUUGUACCUGAACCAUUGCAUCAACCCCAUCACCAGCCUCAGCAAAUAUGGACAGCAUUUCCACAUCUACAGCAAAAAUAGAUUCCCUCUUCUUGGGCUUGUCUAAAUUCACUGGUUCUGCAAUGACUUCUUUUUUCUGGUCAGAACCUUUCAUGCCAGGGGCAUCUUCACUACCAUGUCUCUGAAGCUUCUGAUUAUGUACAAGUAACUUCAACUGUAGUCCAAGUUCAACUAGUGAUAAUUGUACGUCAGGUUCCCACCUAACUGUAAUAUCAGUAGCACUGAAAAGAGAGCAAACAGCAACCUCUUUCAGACCACCAGAACGCCGUACAAAUUUGGAAUUCUGGAUGUCAUACAAAGCCACUUUCGCUUCCGGCUUAUCUUCCUCCAAGUGGUCCUGAUAGAUAGAUCUGGCUCUUUCAAGUUCAAUCUGUGUGGAUUGUUUCUCCUUGUUCACGCACAAACUUAAACGGAAGAUGUCAAGAGAAAUGGAAUACCUCAGUUUCUUGCGUUCAUCAGAUGUUGUGGACAUUAUGUCUGCAACCCGGGGUGUGCCAUCAUCUGAGGUACUUAUUACAACUUGACCACCUUGUGAUCCAUAGUUCACACGCUUAGGAUCUGCAACAACAGUAUUUUCUAAGCCUGCCUCACCACAAAAUUUCACAGAACAUCGUUCAAGAUUUAACUUCAACAGCUGAGUCCCUUUCCCUGAUGGUUUGGACGGACGUCCUCGGCUUUGUGAUGCUCUUCUUUCAGAAGAAGACAAAGUUUUCAAAAGUGCUUGAAAGGACAUUGCAGUUGAUAUAAGCGACUCAACACGCUUGAAUGUAAAAAACACACCCAUACCAGUCACAUCAACAGAUAAAACCAAUUUACAUUUCGGACUGUCUUCUUUGGAUGAUUCCAUGUCCUUUUUGCCCCAGUCCAGACUAACCUUUGCAACAUUAAUUAUAGAACCUGAAUUUGAUUCUACACCAAAAAGGCUCUCUUUCAAGCAUUCUUGGUAUUCAUCUGCCAUGUGCAAAUUUAGCUCACCAAGUUCCAUAUGUACAGUGGUUCCCGUAUUUGAUAUGUUAUUCGCAAAUAUGUGCGAUGAUUGAGAGCAACCCUACACCAGAAACUCAAAUGUUAUGACUUGUAAUUCAUAAUUUUAUUUUUGAACUAAAAAAAAAAAAAAAAAAAAAAGAGAUUAACGGGAAUAGGAAUACAUGAUUAAUGACAAAUAAAGAAGCUGAAGCUAAAGAAGAGCAAGAGACACAAUGGCUACUUCACCGGACAGUGAAAAUUAGACGGCAAAUCAACAAAAAUAGAGCUCUAUCACCUACAUAUAUGCAAAUGUUUUACAUUAUAAUAUGACUAAAUAUUAAUUGCUUAAGAACUUAGAAGUGCACUUGGUAGAGAAUGGUACUACAAUGUUGUUUUCUUUGAUCUAAUACAACUUUUUUCUUAAUCAAAACAGAAGGCCCUACUAUGUAUGACCUGCUUAGGGGUUUUAAUAUACACCUCACUUUUACUCAUUUUAAAGGAAAUAGAACAAAAACCACUCUGAAUUUUUGCAAUGGCGAAUGGAUAGUUUCAUAUCCUAUCACCUAUGAGUUCCCCAUGUACAUAAAAUGAUAUUCAAGCAAGGACAAGAAGAGCGUUCAAAACUCUACAAAUAACACAAAAUUCUAAUAAUAACGUUGCAUUGUGUACCUCCUAGCUUUACAUCCAUUUCAGCUCUGACAGGCAAGGUUGGCUGAAAAGUUAAAAGAGUUCCAAGUCAAUAAAUGACCCCCACCAUAUCAAAAAUGCAGUGCCUGUUUCCAAUGAAAUAUUGCAUAGGGAAUUCCAUGGGAAAUUCCAGAUUUGAUUCUUUUCAAAAUAUAUAUAUAUAUAUAUAUAAAUUUGAUUCUUUUCAAAAAAAAAAAAAAAAAUAUAUAUAUAUAUAUAUCGCAUGGGAAAUUCUGUAUUUGUUGGAAUGGACUGUAGCAGUGGCCCGUGGAUCUUAUCAUGUGCUUCGUUGCUUUUAGAAACAUUGUUUUCAUUUAUUUAGAGACUAUGUCCUCAGUUUCUUUCCUUAUUUUCAUCAUAUAAAUACAUUCCAUAUUAAACAUGGAAAGCACUACUAGUAAGUAUAAACCACAAACCUUCAGUGAAAAACCACAAUCAAAUAAUCCUUGAAUAGUGCUAAAUCAAUGAUCCAUCAAUAUAUUCUUCUCAACAAAAUAAAACAAAAAAAAAAAAAAAACGAUCCAUCAAUAUAUUCAGUAUCAGAAUUAACUGUACAUGAUGAUAUGUUUAAUUGGAUAUAUUUACCCAACGUAUGCAAGAAGUAUAAAAUAUAAGCAGAAGGAAGAGGAUUAACUUUUAAGAGACACAGGACUUAAACUGAAAAAACUUACCUGUACUGGAAUGUAAAAUAAUGAUACAACAUCAACUUUCAGUAUCUCCAAAACAGAAAUGCCAGCUUCUCUAAGCAACUGAAACAUAAUGUCAAAAAUCAUCAUCGAGAAUAGACCAAUAUGCAACGAAUGUGAAAAGUAAACACUAAAAUCAUAUUAACAGUGUCGAAGUUCCAUUCAUACAUGAAUCUCACUGAAAUCCAAUUGAACAUCAAGGCGUGUAGUCUCCCCCACAUCUUCACUGGAUUGUGAUUUGGUGCUUUUUAAUUGGAUGCCCAUUAUGUUAUUCUCGACAGAAAAAUCAUAUUCCCGAUGCGCAAAUCUCACGUCCAGUUUUGGUAAACUGAAGGAAACCUAUCAAAGAAGUAAAAUAUUAAUUCUUAUAAGGAACAAUUUAAUAAAAGAGAAGUUACACAAGUGGAUGAACCAGACGUUGAUGAAAGCACAUAAACAAGAACAAGGAAAGAUUCAAUCGUAAAUAAUUGCAUGAUACUUAAUAUGAUUCAAGAGGUUGACAUGGAAAAUGAAUUGCUAAUAUCAUCACAUUCAGUGCAACAACUCUGAGUAAUAGAUAUAGGGUAGAAAGAUGCAAGAGAAGCUGUCAGAAAGAAAUCACAUUAGAGUCCGGUGCCAAGCAAAACAUCGCAUAAAAUAAAGGUUGGUCAGAGUUUUAAAAUAAUCUAUAGCCCACUCACUCAACUUCAAAAUAGGCACAAAAAAGUUCAUGACUCCUCUACCCUUUAUGACUCUUUCUGGACAGGGGAGAUAUCCUCCAAGGCACACUUCUGGCACUAGUUUAAACUUGUUUCAGCCUCUUAAUACUGUAUACUAAAUUAUUGCUAUCACAUAACUAUUCAGGAUUUCACCUGACUGGUAAGGAUUAAGGAACAGCCUGGGAUAUGGGUAGGUGUUAGUCCAAAUCUUGGUAGGAGAAAAUCUAUACCAUCAUAUCGCAUGUAAUUACACAUACGUAUAGUCCAACAACUAAUUCUUUGAAAAUCUGACAAUAAAGCUUGAUGCUCAAGUAAUUAUUUAUCAACAAGAAAAGAAAACAUCUACAAAAAUGAACAAGGUAUCAAAACCAACUGUGCAAUCAUAACUUACAUUCACUAAAAAGGAAUAUCCCAAAAUUCUUUAAUAAAGAUGCCCAAUAUAAUCCCUUUCAAAAAAAAAAAGAUGCCCAAUAUAAAGAAUAUAAUUCUGUCUAGAAGAAAACACUUAACAAAAUUCAUGUUUAAAGGAAUCUGAACAGAAAGAAAAUGGCAUUAGUAAAAAUAUGACAAACUGAAGGGGGGAAGAGACGGACAGAUCAUGUUGAAAGCCAUAUUAGUUGACAAACCUUUUCUGGAAAUAGAGAGGUGUACUUUGAGAGUGCAACAAUCAUUUGUUGUUUUUUGUGUGGCUUUUUAGAAGCAACAGAAUCCGUAGCAGACCCUAGAAAAUUAUCAGGUUGAGAAGAAGUUUGUGAUGAACUUUUGCUUUUUGAAAGCAUCUCCUCAUUUAGGUUCACAGUAAUCUCUCCACAGGCAAUGUCCACAUUCUUGAUCAUUACACCGACUUCCCUACAUCCAAAUCAAGUGAAUAAAAAGAUAUUAGCUGGUUUACCUUGCCUUAUCAUUGGAAAUUAAAAAAAAAAAAAACAAAUCUAAUGAUAGAAGGGACACAAAAAGUAAUAUAAGAAUUUUUUUUUGAGAAGAAACAAAACAUUUUAUAGAAGAAAAAAGUAAUAUAAGAAUGAAAGUCUCAUACUCAAGAAAUCAUAUUGAAGCCACGUUAAAAGCAAUUAACUAGGCUUUUGCAUCUACAGAAAGAAACAUAUUUCUCCAAAGAUAAUACCUAUCAUAACCAAAUUCACAGGAGAGGAUGAAAUCUUCACAAAUAAAAAGAGCAGAUGUCCUUUCCAUCAUGGAGGAUGAUGACUGGCUUGCAGAAAUGGAUCCUCCAGUGGAAAAAUUGGAUAAGUCACAACUAACCCGUGGGUCACUCCUCAGAACAACAAUAGGUGAUAUCUGUAGCUUAACAAUAAGAUUUUGCUUGGAUGCACCAUCUUUAGACAUGUCCACUUUCAGUUCCUUCACUUCUAUGGAUGCUUUGGGCAUCUGUAACAUUUCAAAAAUUGUAACGACAAAAUAAAGUCCAUGGCACGAAAGAUACAACUGAAAAAUGAAAUGAAUAGACUACUACAACAACAACAACAACAACAAAGCCUUUUCCCACUAAGUGGGGUCGGCUAUAUGAAUCCUAGAACGCCAUUGCGCUCGGUUUUGUGUCAUGUCCUCCGUUAGAUCCAAGUACUCUAAGUCUUUUCUUAGAGUCUCUUCCAAAGUUGUCCUAGGUCUUCCUCUACCCCUUCGGCCCUGAACCUCUGUCCCGUAGUCACAUCUUCGAACCGGAGCGUCAGUCGGCCUUCUUUGCAUGUUCAAAAUCACCGGAGCCGAUUUUCUCUCAUAUUUCCUACAAUUUCGGCUACUCCUACUUUACCUCGGAUAUCCUCAUUCCCAAUCUUAUCCUUUCUCGUGUGCCCACACAUCCCACGAAGCAUCCUCAUCUCCGCUACACCCAUUUUGUGUACGUGUUGAUGCUUCACCACCCAACAUUCUAUGCCAUACAACAUCGCUAGCCUUAUUGCCGUCCUAUAAAAUUUUCCCUUGAGCUUCGGUGGCCUACGACGGUCACACAACACGCCGGAUGCACUCUUUCCAUCCAGCUCGUAUUCUAUGGUUGAGAUCUCCAUCUAAUUCUCCGUUCUCUUGCAAGAUAGAUCCUAGGUAGCGAAAACGAUUGCUUUUUGUGAUCUUCGCUAGAUUGCUCCGGUCAUUAGUGUGGAUAAGUAUAUAAAUGGAUAGAGAUAGGAAAGCAAACACAAGAUGUACGUGGUUCACCCAGAUUGGCUACGUCCACGGAAUAGAAGAGUUCUCAUUAAUUGUGAAGGGUUUACACAAGUACAUAGGUUCAAGCUCUCAUUUAGUGAGUACAAGUGAAUGAUUUAGUACAAAUGACAUUAGGAAAUAUUGUGGGAGAAUGAUCUCGUAGUCACGAAACUUCUAAGUAUCGGAGUGUGGUGUCGUCUUGACUUGCCUUAUCUGUCUCAUAGGUAGAUGUGGCAUCUUCUCUGGAAGUACUCUUCCUCCAUCCAGGGGUGGUAUCUUUAACUGGUGGAGAUGCACAAGGUAAUGUAUCAAUUUCACUUGAAGCUUACUUGUAGUUCAGGCUUGGUCAAGCGCGAUACAAACCAUGUAGUAGGAGUCCCCCAAGUCGCCGAGCUAGGGGGUCUGCUGAAAGAGGUGACAGACAAGGUAAGCAAUCAGAGCUCCGACUGAUUGUUCACCUUCUCCCCAUCUUGCAGCAGCAUGAAGGAUAAAGAGAAGAAAAAUGAGAAGAGAUGAUAUGAGAUACUUUUGCUUUUGAAGAAGUAACUUUCCACAGGCUUAUUCUUGAACUGAGCUGGAGGGUUUUCUAGUUUCCUCCAGAGUAUAAGGCCGACUGAAGAAUUUGAGGGUCAAAACAAGUCCAUCAAAUCUAGAGUACGUUCCACCCUGCUGAUAUGGGAUACUUUUGCUUUUGACAGAGUAAUGAAUGUAUCGGCACGUGUGCUGUUACGCUUGUCUCCACAUGCUUCCUUGUAUCCUUCGCACUUGCCCUAUCUGUUCCUCAAGCAGAUGCGGAAUCUUCCCUGGAAACAUAAGAUGUUGAAGAUGAGUACUCGAGAGCAAUGCCAGGUAAGUAAUCAGGUAAGGGGUUCCAGGCAGUCAGUUCCUGGCUGGAAGCUUGAUUCCAAGUGCUGACUGAUUGCUCUCUUUCUCCUUGUCUUGCAGGUAAAAACAAGGCCAAAAAAAAGACAGGGAAAAAGCAUGAUAUGGGAUACUCUUGCUUUUAACCCUGAUGAUAUGAGAUAUUCUUGCUCUAGUAUAGCUUGUUUGCAGAGGUAUUAUCGGGGGGAAAGAAAGCUGAAUAUUUCGAAAGGCUUCGUUGGGAGUGCCCUCUCAGAUAUGAUGAAGGGUUGAGCAUUUUUGCAGGUCUGCCUGUCCGUUGGGGAUGGAGGUCGACAUCUAUAGGAGUCUCCCUAACAACAAGUAGUAAUGCUAUUCCUUUACCCUGCUUGGUCAUAGCACAGUAGUGGGAGCUGCCAGUUUCACAUGUUUUAACUCUGUCAGAGCACUUUGAAAAAGUGGUCUGUGGUAUCUGGCUCUCGAGAUUCGGAGAACGAUGCCUCUUCGAUUUUUGAGAAAGCAAUCAUGCUGGGGGUAUGACUCUCGAGAUUCGGAGAGCAGUGUCUCUUCGAUUUUUGAGGAAGUAAUCAUGUUGGGAGUCUGGCUCUCGAGAUUCGGAGGGCGGUGCCUCUUCGAUUUUGGAGCAAGCAAUCUUGUUGGGAGUGUUGUCUCGAAUGUGAGUAAAGGUUGGGCAUGUUUGCUAGUCUACCUUGCCACGAAGCACAAAGGUUGACACACAGGGACUUUCCAAUUAUCCAGCAAUGGUACUGUUCCUUUACCCUCUCUUCGAUUUUGAGAAAGUAGUCAUGUUGGGAGUCUGGCUCUCGAGAUUCGGAGGACGGUGCCUCUUCGAUUUUGGAGCAAGCAAUCUUAUUGGGAGUGUUUUCUCGAAUGUGAGUAAAGGUUGGGCAUGUUUGCUAGUCUACCUUGCCACGAAGCACAGAGGUUGACACACAGGGACUUUCCAAUUAUCCAGCAGUGGUACUGUUCCUUUACAGUUGUGGGUAAUAAUAUGGUAGCUAGACCUUCAAAAUUUAUGUGUCUAAACUUUGUUAGUGUUGUUUCUUUGCUAUUCUUUUACCUUUCUUGGUCAGAGCGAUGUAGUGGGAGCUGCAAGCUUCACGUGCUCAACUUUGGCAGAGAACUUUGGCAAAGUUAUUUGUGGUACCCAUGAGCUAUUGUUGCGUGUGGGAAGUGGGUGAUUGAACAGUAAGAUUCAUGUGCUUUCUACUUCACCAGAAGUCUUCGACAGAAUGCCCAUAAUUUAUGCAAAGCUGAGUGUGCGUGUGACAGGUGCUGACAAGGCUAGAAAAGUAGGUGCCUCUUCGAUUUCUGAGAUCGGCCCUCGUGGUCUCUGAGCAGCCCAGCUUUUGAGAAAGCGAGCGCCUCUUCGAUUGAUUCGGAGAACGAUGCCUCAUCGAUUUUUGAGAAAGCAAUCAUGCUGGGGGUCUGGCUCUCGAGAUUCGGGGAGCAGUCUCUUCGAUUUUUGAGAAAGUAAUCAUGUUGGGAGUCUGGCUCUCGAGAUUCGGAGGGCGGUGCCUCUUCGAUUUUGGAGUAAGCAAUCUUGUUGGGAGUGUUUUCUCGAAUGUGAGUAAAGGUUGGGCAUGUUUGCUAGUCUACCUUGCCACGAAGCACAGAGGUUGACACACAGGGACUUUCCAAUUAUCCAGCAAUGGUACUGUUCCUUUACCCUCUCUUCGAUUUUUAAGAAAGUAGUCAUGUUGGGAGUCUGGCUCUCGAGAUUCGGAGGACGGUGCCUCUUCGAUUUUGGAGCAAGCAAUCUUAUUGGGAGUGUUUUCUCGAAUGUGAGUAAAGGUUGGGCAUGUUUGCUAGUCUACCUUGCCACGAAGCACAGAGGUUGACACACAGGGACUUUCCAAUUAUCCAGCAGUGGUACUGUUCCUUUACCCUUGUGGGUAAUAAUAUGGUAGCUAGACCUUCAAAAUUUAUGGGUCUAAACUUUGUUAGUGCUGUUUCUUUGCUAUUCUUUUACCCUUCUUGGUCAGAGCGAUGUAGUGGGAGCUGCAAGCUUCACGUGCUCAACUUUGGCAGAGAACUUUGGCAAAGUUAUCUGUGGUACCCAUGAGCUAUUGUUGCGUGUGGGAAGUGGGUGAUUGAACAGUAAGAUUCAUGUGUUUUCUACUUCCCCAGAAGUCUUUGACAGAAUGCCCAUAAUUUCCGCAAAACUGAGUGUGCGUGUGACAGGUGCUGACAAGGCUGGAAAAGGCUGGAAAAGUAGGUGCCUCUUCGAUUUCUGAGAUCGGCCCUCGUGGUCUCUGGGGAGCCCAGCUUUUGAGAAAGCGAGCGCCUCUUCGAUUUUUGAGAUCGGCCUUCGUGGUCUUUGAGCAGCCCAACUUUUGAGAAAGCAAACACCUCUUCGAUUUCUGAGAUCAACCCUCGUGAUCUCUAAGCAGCCCAGCUUUUGAGAAAGCAAACGCCUCUUCGAUUUCUGAGCAGGCGCCUCUUCGAUUUCUGAAGCUUCGUCGAGUGCAGAUUUUUAUAGGGGCUGGCAUUAAGUUCCAAAGCACACUUGAAUCUCCACCAGUAGAAGCUUCAUUCUUGCACUUCUAAGAUCUUGAUUUGUCCGACCUCUUCUCUCUUCAACACCUUUGAAAAUGUCUGGCCCCUCCGACCGUCGUUUUGACUUGAACCUUGUUGAAGAGGCAGCCCCGCCUUCUCCAGACAACAUAUGGCGCCCAUCCUUCGUCUCCCCUACUGGUCCUCUUACCGUUGGGGAUUCCGUGAUGAAGAAUGAUAUGACCGCUGCGGUGGUGGCCAGGAACCUUCUCACUCCCAAAGAUAACAGACUACUUUCCAAACGGUCUGAUGAGUUAGCUGUUAAGGAUUCGCUGGCUCUCAGUGUUCAGUGUGCAGGUUCUGUGUCUAAUAUGGCCCAACGCCUAUUUGCUCGAACCCGCCAAGUUGAAUCCAUUGGCGGCUGAAGUGAUGAGUCUCAAACAGGAGAUUAGAGGGCUCAAGCAUGAGAAUAAACAGUUGCACCGGCUCGCACAUGACUAUGCUACAAACAUGAAGAGGAAGCUUGACCAGAUGAAGGAAACUGAUGGUCAGGUUUUACUUGAUCAUCAGAGAUUUGUGGGUUUGUUCCAAAGGCAUUUAUUGCCUUCGUCUUCUGGGGCUGUACCGCGUAAUGAAGCUCCAAAUGAUCAACCUCUGAUGCCUCCUCCUUCUAGGGUUCUGUCCAGUACUGAGGCUCCAAAUGAUCCCCCUCCGGUGCCUUCUCUUUCUGGGGCUCUACCGACUGCUGAGACUUCUCCAAAGCAACCUUUGUGAAGGCUCCCUCUUGUGUGCUUAUUUUGACUCAUGUAUAUGUACAUAUUUGUAGCUUAUCGGGGAUAUCAAUAAAUAAGCUUUCCUUCAUUUCAACGUAUUGUGUUAAAUACACCAAAGCCUUCUUCGCUAAGUUCUUUGAAUUUUCUUUUGUUAAAGCUUGUAUGUUGAAGCUUUCUGAGUGGAGCAUGUAGGUUGGGGUAGUGUUCCCUUAAUUUCCCGAGUGAGGAAAACUUCUCAGUUGGAGACUUGGAAAAUCCAAGUCACUGAGUGGGAUCGGCUAUAUGAAUCUUAGAACGCCAUUGUGCUCGAUCCUGUGUCAUGUCCUUCGUUAGAUCUAAGUACUCUAGGUCUUUUCUUAGAGUCUCUUCCAAAGUUUUCCUAGGUCUUCCUCUACCCCUUCGGCCCUGAACCUCUGUCCCAUAGUCGCAUCUUCUAAUCGGAACGUCAGUAGGCCUUCUUUGCACAUGUCCAAACCACCGUAACCGAUUUUCUCUCAUCUUUCCUUCAAUUUCGGCUACUCCUACUUUACCCCGGAUAUCCUCAUUCCUAAUCUUAUCCUUUCUCGUGUGCCCACACAUCCAACGAAGCAUCCUCAUCUCCGCUACACCCAUUUUGUGUACGUGUUGAUGUUUCACCGCCCAACAUUCUGUGCCAUACAGCAUCGCCGGCCUUAUUGCCGUCCUAUAAAAUUUUUCCCUUGAGCUUCAGUGGCAUACGGCGGUCACACAACACGCCGGAUGCACUCUUCCACUUCAUCCAUCCAGCUUGUAUUCUAUGGUUGAGAUCUCCAUCUAAUUCUCCGUUCUUUUGCAAGAUAGAUCCUAGGUAACGAAAACGGUCGCUCUUGGUAUUUCUUGAUCUCCGAUCCUCACCCCUAACUCGUUUUGGCCUCCAUUUGCACUGAACUUGCACUCCAUAUAUUCUGUCUUUGAUCGGCUUAGGCGAAGACCUUUAGAUUCCAACAGUUCUCUCCAAAGGUUAAGCUUUGCAUUUACCCCUUCCUGAGUUUCAUCUAUCAACACUAUAUCGUCUGCGAAAAGCAUACACCAAGGAAUAUCAUCUUGAAUAUGUCGUGUUAACUCAUCCAUUACCAACGCAAAAAGGUAAGGACUUAAGGAUGAGCCUUGAUGUAAUCCUACAGUUAUGGGAAAGCUUUCGGUUUGUCCUUCAUGAGUUCUUACGGCAGUCUUUGCUCCUUCAUACAUAUCCUUUAUAGCUUGGAUAUAUGCUACUCGUACUCCUUUCUUCUCUAAAAUCCUCCAAAGAAUGUCUCUUGGGACCCUAUCAUACGCUUUUUCCAAAUCUAUAAAGACCAUGUGUAAAUCCUUUUUCCCAUCUCUAUAUCUUUCCAUCAAUCUUCGUAAGAGAUAGAUUGCCUCCAUGGUUGAGCGCCCUGGCAUGAACCCGAAUUGGUUGUCCGAAACCCGUGUCUCUUGCCUCAAUCUAUGCUCAAUGACUCUCUCCCAGAGCUUCAUUGUAUGACUCAUUAGCUUAAUACCCCUAUAGUUCAUGCAAUUUUGUACGUCGCCCUUAUUCUUGUAGAUAGGCACCAAAGUGCUCAUUCGCCACUCAUUUGGCAUCUUCUUCGUUUUCAAAAUCCUAUUGAAAAGGUCAGUGAGCCAUGUUAUACCUGUCUCUCCCAAAAGUUUCCACACUUCGAUUGGUAUAUCGUCUGGGCCUAUUGCUUUUUUAUGCUUCAUCUUCUUCAAAGCUACAACCACUUCUUCCUUCCGGAUUCGACGAUAAAAAGAGUAGUUUCUACACUCUUCUGAGUUACUCAACUCCCCUAAAGAAGCACUCAUUUCAUGUCCUUCAUUGAAAAGAUUAUGAAAAUAACCUCUCCAUCUGUCUUUAACCGCGUUCUCUGUAGCAAGAACCUUUCCAUCCUCAUCCUUGAUGCACCUCACUUGGUUUAGGUCCCUUGUCUUCUUUUCCCUUGCUCUAGAUAGUUUAUAGAUAUCCAACUCUCCUUCUUUGGUAUCUAGUCGUUUAUACAUAUCGUCGUAAGCCGCUAACUUAGCUUCUCUGACAGCUUUCUUCGCCUCUUGCUUCGCUUUUCUAUACCUUUCACCAUUUUCAUCAGUCCUCUGGCUUUACAACAUUCCUUCUUAGCCUUCACCUUUGUUUGUACCUCCUCAUUCCACCACCAAGAUUCCUUUUGGUGUGGGGCAAAGCCCUUGGACUCUCCUAAUACCUCUUUUGCUACUUUUCGGAUACAACUAGCCAUGGAAUCCCACAUUUGGCUAGCUUCCCCCUCUCUAUCCCACACACAUUGGGUGAUUACCUUCUCUUUGAAAAUGGCUUGUUUUUCUUCUUUUAGAUUCCACCAUCUAGUCCUUGGGCACUUCCAAGUCUUGUUCUUUUGUCUUACUCUUUUGAUAUGUACAUCCAUCACCAACAAGCGAUGUUGAUUAGCCACGCUCUCUCCUGGUAUAACUUUGCAAUCCUUACAAGUUAUACGAUCCCCUUUCCUCAUUAGAAGAAAAUCUAUUUGUGUUUUUGACGACCCACUCUUGUAGGUGAUCACAUGUUCUUCUCUCUUCUUAAAGAAGGUGUUGGCUAAGAAGAGAUCAUAUGCCAUUGCAAAAUCCAAGAUAGCUUCCCCAUCCUCGUUUCUCUCCCCAAAACCAUGGCCACCAUGAAAACCUCCAUAGUUGCCUGUCUCCCUGCCCACGUGUCCAUUUAAAUCUCCUCCUAUAAAUAACUUCUCCGUCUGAGCAAUUCCUUGCACCAAGUCUCCAAGAUCUUCCCAAAAUUUCUCCUUCGAACUCGUAUCCAACCCUACUUGAGGUGCGUACGCACUAAUCACAUUGAUAAGUUCUUGUCCUAUUACAAUCUUGAUUGCCAUGAUUCUAUCUCCUACCCUCUUGACAUCUACAACAUCUUGUACCAAGGUCUUGUCCACGAUGAUGCCAACACCGUUUCUCGUUCUAUUUGUGCCCGAAUACCAAAGUUUAAACCCUGAGUUUUCUAGAUCCUUUGCCUUACUACCAACCCACUUAGUUUCUUGUAGGCACAUAAUAUUUAUCCUUCUCCUCACCAUAACUUCCACUACUUCCAUAGAUUUUCCCGUUAAGGUUCCUAUAUUCCACGUUCCUAAACGCAUUUUGCUCUCUUGAACUCUACCCUUCUGUCCUAGCUUCUUCACCCUCCCCCGUCUAAUAGGAUCAAAGUACUUUUUUUGUGUGUCCCGGGUAAAGUUGAUAGGAGCAUAUGCUCCCAAACAACUUUGAGUGGAGUCGUUCGAAAAGAAGUUUCUAUGGCCCCCUUGCUCAUUUAACACUGCAUCCGGGUGCCGAUGGAGAUACAGCGACCCUUGCUCACUUAUCACUGUGCUCAGGCCACACAGCGCGCCACUUACGGGUGACGCCCUAGCUUUAGCGCGAUUUUGUUCUGGAUUCAUUUUCAUAAGGAUUCGACGUGAUCAUGGAGUGCCGGCUGUCGACUACCUGACGCCCUCCCCCUCCUCCUUUAUCCGGACUUGGGACCGGCCAUGUAAGACAUAGGCGGAGUUAAAUGAAUAGACUACUAGUUAACGAAAAAAAUUAAAAAGCACAGCCUCUUGAACUUGAUUAUUUCCAACCUAAUAUUUGUACACUAUCAGAUUCAUCCCUUUUUCUUGUCGAUGACACAAAAUAUGUCCAACUUAUUGGAAUAAAAUUUUGGAUCGCCUACAAAAAACCUCACAACUAUAGGGUCUAUUUCAAGUUGGUAUCCAAUCUCCAGAGGUUGGAUAAAAUGGUAAACAAACUUAAUAGUACCUACAUAUCCGAUCUCCGAGUGGGUCAGUUAAAUUCUUAUGUAGCAAACGUGUCCCAUGUUCUAUGAUUAAUCGGACUCCAAAAGUGUACCGUGCAUUUAGAAUGUCACGUGAAACACAAAACAAUAGAAAACUAGAGAACAUUUUGAAAAGUCAUCAGAAGAUGAAAUUUAAAUAAAAAAAUAACAUAAAAAACCAUAAAUCUAAAAGAAGGACUAAACCUCCUUCUCUUUUCUCUCCCUCCCUCUCUACCAUCUAUCUCUCCAACAGCUGCAGGUAGUGAGAGAGAGAACGUAAGGGCAUAGAGUGUCCAAGAGAGGGAGGUUUGUUCUUCCUUUUUAUUUUUGUGCUUUGUUUUCUAUCUUAUUUAUUCCACAUCGCAUUAGUAAAUACACAUGACACACUCCAGAUAACCAUUAAAAAUGAGACCCACAUUUGCCAUGCAAGCAUUUAACAAGCAUAUUGAGGGAUUAGUUGACCAUAUUUUCUUACUUACCAAAUUGUGAUCCUGUACCAACUUAAAAAAUAAUCCUAUAUUUUGAGGGGGUGGGAGGUAUGUAGUUUGAUAUAUUUUCUUAUUUAAAAAAAAAAAAAUUGGUGUUGCAUAUUCUUUCCACUUAUUUCAGAUGAGUUAACCUUGAACCGGUUUUAUUCUUCAAAUGGCAACUACAAAUAUCCUUCAAAAAGUUAUUCAUGAACAAACUUCUACGCAUUAAGAACGAGUAAAGCAAACAGAAGGUAUUCUACAGAUAAAAAGGGAUAAAAAUACUAGUACAAUCCAGCAUACCUUCAAAACCAAAUCUGUGAUGGAAACCGACAAAUAUCUUGCAAUAUUAGCCACAACCAUCCACUUUCCCCUGCCUGAAUUGGCCUUUGUCGUACGAGGUCUUCGAGGUUUAGCCUUUGCCGUACUUCUACUCGAAGGCCUCAUCACAACUUCUAAGUCACAUAUUAACACUUGCAGCUUAGGGUCUUUAGAAAUAAAACCAAACAGUUUGACCAAGGACUGACGUAAGCUGAGUUUAAUUUCACCAACAGAAACAGAUUCAACAGCGCCCUGCAAAAUUACCAUAGUCGUAAAUAAAAGAAUGUCAACAUCUAAUGGGCACUAAUCUGCUGACAAAACAAAAAUUUCCUAAAGCAUUGACAAUCAUCCAACAAAAUUCCAAACAGCAUAUGGAGGGCCCAGGGAGGGUUAGAGUAAUCCCUUCAUUUUCUUUUAGGUAGACUAUGAUCCAUUAU